GGCGGCGGGGGGGUUUAAGCUAAGCACCCGAACCAAUCGCAUAAACCCCGCAACGAUAAGGGCUCUCGCCCAAUUUUCCUUUUUUUUUCCCCCUCUCCCCGUCCUUUUCUCCUUCUCCAUUUCCCUUUUUUUUUUCCAUCUUUUUCCCCACAACAAAUUACUUUUCCUUCGAUUCAAGGUCCUCUUCAUUAUCGCUUUAUCCCUUUUCCGAUUUUUUUGUUUGUUUGUAUUUGUUAUUUAGCUGUGGAUUCUUAAGUUUCUUUUGUACUUGCUUGGUAGAAAUGUUCUAAACGAUGUUCGGUUCUUCAUCUUUUGAUUUACUUAGGAAUUUUAAUUCAUUUGUGCUCAACCAAAUCAUGUAAUUUAAUCAAGCAUUUCUCCUCUUUUUUUUUUUUUGUCACAAUGUGUAGGUACUUCUCUUAGAUGGAACUAGAAGCAAUUCAACACAGAAAUUUCAGCUACUGAGAUCUCAGUGUUUUCUUCUUCUUUUUUUUUUUUGGGUAAUUCACCAAAAAUGGCUACAAAUAUUCCAUGUUUCACCCAAUUCAACCACUUCCUUGGAUCUGGAGGGAAUUGGAUUUGUAGAAAUAGCUCAUCCGUAGCCCUAAUCGAAGGCGGGAAUUGCCAGGCUAUUGCGCCUCACUAUCCUCGCAUUCGAUGCUCGUCGAGCUCUCACAACAUCAACUCAUUUCACAACAAGGACCCCUUCUUAAACCUCCACCCCGAAGUAUCCUUGCUCCGAGGGGAGCAGCGCGAGAAGAUGUUCAAUCCUCGGAAGGAUAGCUCGGUAAGUAAUCCGGCCGAGAGCGUAAGGGAUUCGUCCGAGAAUGGCGACUACAAUGAGGCCAAGAUAAAAGUUAUCGGUGUCGGAGGCGGGGGGUCGAAUGCGGUGAAUAGGAUGAUUGAGAGUGCGAUGAAGGGCGUGGAGUUUUGGAUAGUGAAUACGGAUAUCCAGGCGAUGAAGAUGUCCCCCGUGUAUCCCGAACACCGAUUGCAAAUAGGGCAGGAGCUGACUAGAGGUCUUGGGGCCGGGGGGAACCCGGAUAUUGGCAUGAAUGCCGCUAAAGAAAGCAAGCAGGCGAUCGAGGAGGCUGUUUAUGGCGCCGAUAUGGUCUUUGUAACGGUAAAUUCAUUACUCUUCGAUGUCUAUAUGAAAAUGUAGUUUUAUUUAUGAUGUUCGUCGUUAGUUAUUUAUCACUGAGAUUAUUCUUCGUUGCUGUUGUCUGUAAUAUCAUUUAUAUCUGUUGACAUAGCGAUGUUUAUCAUUAUUCGCAUUGUUAUCGAUAUACCAUUUCUGAUAACAAUGUAUGGCUAUUUCUGACUGUAUGCAGUAAUGUACUACUAUUUCCAAUGCUACUAUUACCUCAAGAUAACAUGAUGUUUCCAAAAGCUGCUGCUUUAUGGAGUAGAGAGACAAUUCUAGAAGCCAGGCCAAUAAGGCACUAACUCAUCGCAUUUUGAUUAGAAUAAUCAAUUCUGACAACCUUACGGUUUUAUUCAUUAUUCGAAUUGUGACGGCUUCGCAGUCUGGAAUGGGUGGAGGAACUGGAACCGGCGGUGCUCCUGUAAUUGCUGGAAUUGCCAAGUCUCUAGGUAUACUGACGGUGGGUAUUGUCACAACACCAUUCUCAUUUGAGGGCCGAAGAAGGGCGGUUCAGGCCCAGGAAGGGAUAGCUGCUUUGCGAAAUAGCGUCGAUACACUCAUUGUCAUCCCUAAUGACAAGCUGUUGACAGCUGUCUCUCCUAAUACUCCUGUUACAGAAGCAUUUAACAUGGCCGAUGACAUUCUUCGACAGGGCGUUCGUGGCAUCUCUGAUAUAAUUACGGUAUCAUAUUUCAAAUCACUGCCCCUAAUGUGUCCAUUUAACUAAUUUUGUUAACUAGCCAUUUAGUUUAUCUAGAGUUAUAACCAUACGUGUCUAAUCAUUUAUUUGCGGUCCAUACAGUAACUCCACGGGCGUUAGUUAGUGGUUUUCAUUGUUUGCAGGUACCUGGUUUGGUUAAUGUUGACUUUGCUGAUGUGCGAGCCAUCAUGGAAAAUGCAGGUUCUUCUUUAAUGGGUAUUGGAACAGCAACAGGUACCUCAAUAAUGCAUAAUUAUUUUCCUCUUUUUAUGGGUUUUUAUUAGAAGAAUAAUACUUGAGUACCAACUUAUUUGAGAAUGUGGUGAUUUGCUAAUCCUUGAAUAUUGUCAAUUUCAACUUUUGCCUGCUAAUAUAUGCCUGUUUUGUAAACACAACCCCACUGUGAAGUAAAUGAACACGGACGUGUUAAGCAAGUUAAUAGACAGGUUUGUUGCUUAAGAUACAUAAAAGGGAUUCACUGUUACUGCUAUGUGAAGCUUGUUAAUUGUGCUGUCAAUCAUCUUUCUUUGUCAUUAGCCAUGAAAAGGAAAACAAAGCUUGGUAGCCUACGUAUUGCCUACCAAAGUGUAUAACAACAUAAUUCUAGUAUUAUGUCAUGUAGCUAGCUAUAAAGUUCACCUCUGCUGAAUAAACGGAAUAUUAUUUAGAGGUGCAUUCCACUAGAGAUUAAUGUAGUACCUAAACAUAACUUUGCAGGUAAGACAAGGGCAAGAGAUGCUGCGUUAAAUGCCAUCCAGUCGCCUUUACUGGAUAUUGGAAUUGAACGAGCUACAGGAAUUGUGUGGAACAUUACUGGAGGUAGUGACUUGACUUUGUAUGAGGUAUGCUGCAUUUGUUGCUUCACUCGCCUGUGUACAAAAUGUUUCUAUUCCAAUGCUGUAUAUCUCUUCUAAUUCGCUCUGGUAGGAUACUAAUGAUGGUUUGUGCAUAGUUUCCGUUGAAAUAGAGACAUCAUUUUAUGCCUAUGUAUCCAAUAUGCAUAAAGAGCGGAUUAGAGAGCUGUUUUUGUAUCUUCUUGAUCGUUUUCACUCUUCUCCUCCUUGUUGGUGCUUAAAUUAUCAUGCGCAGAAAUUUGAAGUCUUGUGAAAAAGAAAAAACCAAUCUGUUGUGCAUGUUAAGAGGAGAUAUAAGAAAAUUCUUAGCAAUCUAUGGUUUUUUUUCCUCGAAAAAGAAAAGAAAAAAUAAUAAUUAGCAUCUUCCUUUGGCUACAGUGGGCGAAGAAAUGGGUACAAUAGUCUAAAUUACCUUCCAUUCCUAUAAAACAUGUAACAAAGUGCCCUUGUUUUGAUAUUGCUGUUCUGUUUCUCCAAUAUUUAAAUUUGUGGUCUGUAACUUCCUAAUAACAGUUUUUUUCUUUUUUUUCUUUUCCCUGGGCCUGUGUAAGACGCUUCUGUUAGCAUACUUUCUUGUUUCUAUGGUUGUGUAAUUCGUCUAUUUCUUGAUUAUUUUCAGGUAAAUGCUGCAGCAGAAAUAAUUUAUGACCUUGUCGAUCCAAGUGCUAAUCUAAUAUUUGGAGCUGUGAUCGACCCAUCACUCAGUGGUCAAGUAAGUUGACAAUCUCCUAAAUCAUACUGCGCUUAUUUGGGAACUGCAACGAACUUUAUCACUAAAUGGGAGAAAGGCCUUACAGUAUCAAUUUGUAGUAGGAUAUAAAUUUAGGAACCUAAUUGAAAGUAUAACAAUGUAAAAUAUCACUGAUCACCGAGUUUAGCGGUAGGAUAAAAACUUGACUAUUCAUCUCAAUGCAGGUGAGCAUAACUCUCAUUGCUACCGGCUUCAAACGCCAAGACGAAUUGGAAGGCCGAACCGCAAAGGUAUAUAUGCCUUCGCUUGUUGUCUGCUAACUUAAUUUUAGCGUCAGUCCUGUUUAGUAAAUCACGUCUCUUAACAAACGGCUCGCAGGGAGAUAAUAUCGGGAUAAACCGGCGGCCAUCUUCAUCUUCCACUGAAGAGAACUUUGUGGAGAUCCCCGAGUUUCUGCGGCGAAAGGGACCUUCUCGCUUUCCACGAGUUUGAUAGGUUUAUGUUCUUGUAUGUAUUUGUUUCUUCUUGUUCUGUCCCAGCUCUUGUAAUACAAUAUAAUCUUCUCUCAUACCUUUCCCUGUAAUUUUUCCUCUUUUUUAUCCAUAUAAAAUAGACACAGUGCUUGUUGUCGAGGUUAUGAACAAGUUCGAGUACCACCAAGCUGUUUCUGAUGCAGUUGUUUCUGAUAAUGAAACAUUCUGUGGAUGAAAAUGAUUAUUCCAACCAGUCAUGUAGCUUUCAUUCCGCACCUCAUUCAACUAAAAUUGCAUACAUUGUAGAGAUUGCUUUUCUAUGACAUAUUGCAUGAUUAACCUUGUGAAUUAAUUUGUUCAUACUUGCAUGCAUGGCACGUUAUUCUUGUAUGCAUUGAUGUAUAUACAAGGCCUAAAGGUUUUUGAUUGGUUGAUGAAUGCUAUAUAACAUAUAACAUGCCAUGAUCUGCCAAUACAUUAAUAACAUUAUUAGUAUCUAUGUACGGUUUUGUAAUUCGUUGAUGCAGGAUUAUCUUGUUAUUUAUCAUUAAAUUGUUCAUCUUGUCUUAUUUACUAUAUGCCCUCGCUGAGUUGGACAAUGUAGGUCGAUCUUGUCGUUUAUUAUUAAACUGUUUAUCAUGAUUCUAACAUAUUCGGUCGCUACGUACACAGAUUUUGUGACACUGACUUAUUGGCACUGGCAUGUAGUGUAUGAGAAGUAAAUAAAGAAUUAAUUUAGUGGUACAGAGACUUUUCCAUCUUGGAGCAGAAUAUUCUGAUUAUCCAAACAUAUAAUUUGAACACCAAUAAAGACAGUGUCAGGUUGCUGACGUGUAGUCGUUCCCGUCAAUUAUUGCCUGGUCUGUAGCCGGUCUAUUAAACUCCAAAUGCUAUAAAUUCAAACUAUAUUACUUAUUAAAAUACUAGCACAACUAAUUAAAAAAAAAGCUUUAAAUCGUUACAUAUGAUUUUACAACACCUAAAAAUGUGCCUAAACAAAGUAUAAUUUUUAAUAUCUUUAGUAUAACGAACAGUAAUUGUUUUAGCCCACUUAAAAUUUGUAUUCAAAUUUCAAAAUUUCUCCCAUCCUACGUAAAUUCCACCAAUGACAGUGGGCCUUGCGCAAAUACGAAGGCGAAGAUCCUCUGCAUCAUAUGACGUACAAUAAUUAAUGCUAAAAUAAUAAUAUAAUAAUAUCCUUCUUACGUUCUCUCGACCAGUUUAAUUUUUUAAAUUUAAUAAGCAAAACUAACCAAUUACGUUUCUGGAAAAUUGGUGUCGUACCAAUUUUCUACAACCCGAUUUGCAGCGAACGUGCUGAACCGUCAAGCAAGUGGCGGGGUGGGCCAUGAGAACGGCGGGCCCGGGUCCAAACUGCCUAUAAAUAUCCAACCCUUCCUCACUCUCCUCACUCACUUUUCCGUUUCUGUUGUGCUUUGGAGCGAGCGCGCGACGACGAUGGCUCUCGCUGCUCGUUUCUUCCUCUUCUCCUCCCCUCGCUCUCUCUCCUCCUCCGCUUCCGCUUCGCUCCCCCCUCUCCCCCGCUCCCCCACUCCCCACCUAGGGUUAGUGCUUCGCCGCUCCCGAUCCGACCGCCUCGAUCUCCCCGACGCCUCUCUCUUCUCCCACGGAUCAAUCUCCCAUGGCGGCGGAUCACUCCCUCGGAAGAUCCGCUGGUAAGUGAUCGUUCAUUUAUUUCGUUCAUGAGCUCGGAUUUGUGUUUCUACGGUUUCUUCUCAAGCAUUUGUGAUCGAAUGAGGUGUGAUUGCUUCGUUCUCUCUGGUUUCUUUACUUCGUUGCUCUUUGGUGUAUGGAGACUCUUCGAUCGGUGGUUCUGAUUCUAUUCUUGUUCGAUUGGGUUAUUGAUCGCUUAGAAUAAGUUUUCUUAUCUGGUUACUGUGGAGUUAGGCCUUUUCAUGUCCUUUGGCAUGCUUCUUCGUUACUAAUUGUGCACUUGUCAUCCGAAGGUCGUCUCGAUUUGAAGAAUUUAUUUGAUUAUAUUGAUUUUAUUGAUUUUAUCUCUUGAUUGUUUUACGGUUGAAGGUUUUCAGAGAUGUUUACAUUCUUUGUUUCAUCGAGAACUUCUGUUUGUGUACGAGAGAUUUCUCUAGCUGGUUGAGAUAACGUUUUGCGGACGAUCGGAGUGCUACAUCGCAUUUUAUGUGUUAAUUAUUGCAUAUAUUGCAUGUCGGCAGUUCAAUUAGUGUUCCUGACUAUAUCUUGAGAGAAUAAUGCAGGAUUGGUCCUCAAUUUUCUGGCAAUUCGGCAGAAACAUUGGGAUCUUCCUCCUCGGUAUGCAAUGGAUCGUCAGUAUUAUCUGUUGUUUGUUUGUCAGAGCAAUUUAUUUCCUCAUGGUUAGAUUAGUUGAACUACUAGAUCAUAAUUAUCAUCUUGGCUAUUUUUUUUCCUACUAUAUAGGAUCAGCUAGAGAAGAACAACUCAAACUCGAACGUUCUAUAGAAGAGUUGCUUGAUUUACACUAUUCGGUCAACCUGUUUUUGACCCUAUAGGAAAUUGUAUGCUGCUUUAGUUUUUGAAUUUUAUCAUAUAUCCAAAGACAGCCUAUGGUGUCACUGUUUGAAUUUGCACAAUUAAUGUUCCUAAGAAACUAAAGAAGAUCUGAAACACAUACUAACAAUUGAAACACAUGAUUGUAUGAUAAGUAUCACUUCCAAUGGCCGGUGAUGUUCAUGUAAGUGUUUAUUUAGUACUGACUGGAUAUAUUACCGAUUGGAUAGCCAUAGAUAUGAUAUAAAGUUAUGGAUUGAUCUUGUAUUUGCUGUUUAUACUUGUGGAGAAAUCAUUAGUUGAAAUCUAGAGAUAACUUUGAGAAAACUUGUGAAGUGAAUAGUUCAGUUGGUUUUAAUGGUUAAACGGAACCAGUUCUAAUUAGUAACGCUUGCUUGUAUGUCCUCACUUUAUCUAGCCAUUUUAGCAGCAUCCUUUAGUAGUAGUAGUUCGGAUUUUUAUAUGGAAAGGGUAAAAUGAUUCCUGUUUUCUAAUGUUACAUUCUCUCAGGAACCUGACGAGGAUACUGAUUCAGUUCCAAUGCCGAUAGUUUUGAUCGAUCAAGAUUCAGAUCCUGAUGCAACAAUCGUUCAGCUCAGUUUUGGGGACCGUCUAGGGGCACUACUUGAUACGGUGAAGUUGCUCUUUGUCAUUUGUUUCUAGCUGAAGAAACUUGAUAUAGUGAAGUUACUCUUUGUCAUUUGUUUCUAGCUGAAGAUACUUGAUAUGGUGAGGUUACUCUUUGUCAUUUUUCUCUAGCUGAAGAUACUUGACACGGUGAAGUUACUCUUUGUCAUUUUUCUCUAGCUGAAGAGAUACCAAUUUGUUCGGUUAUUUUUCUUCAACUGCAUUCCAAAUAUUUGUCCUACUACAGAAGGAAAAUAUGUAUUAUUUUCCAUUUGACAUUAGAAGAAUCUUUUGUAGCAUAUUUAGGAAAUGCAACUUCUGAAUACCUUUUUUCAAUCUUCAAUAUGUUGUUGUUCAAUUGAUUAGGACAAUGUGAAAUUCUUAGAUCUUGGUUCCCUGGUCUUCAGAUGAAAGCACUCACAGACCUGGGACUUCAUGUGACCAAGGGAUCUGUGACAGCUAAUGAAUUUGUUGUGCGGACAAAGUUUUUUAUCACGCAGAUGUGAGUCUUUAUACAUUUUUUUUUUUGCUUUUUUUCGUUAACUUAUCUUAAUAAUGUUUAUUCUUCAUUUGAAAUGUUCUAAAGAAAGUUGGAUCUGUCGUACCUUUAUUAGUUUGCUUUGUAUAUACCAUUUGAUUUCUUAAAAUUCAUGUGGUGAGUGUGCCUAGAAUCGUCAGUAUAAAAGAGUUCUUACUACACACAUAAAAAUGGCUGUGUAAUGUGGAUGUAAUCUUUAAUGUUAUAUCCCAUAGGAUUAUUACUUUAGAGAAUCUGAACGUAAGUAUGUCAACAUUCCAGGGGGCGAAAGAUUGUAGAUCCUGACAUAUUGGAAAGAAUUCGGCUUACCAUAAUCAGCAACCUGCUGAAGUAUCAUCCAGUACGCUUUUAGUGACGCUGCUGGUUCUUUGAAAAGCUAUAUGUAGGUUGCAUUACUUUUAAUUGUCUGUAUUUUCAUCUAUCUGCAGGAAUCCAGUGAGAAGUUGGCAAUGGGUGAAAUAUUCGGAAUAAAGCCUCCAGUGAAGGUAAUUAGUUCUAAUAAUUCAGCAUUUCUCUCAUUUUCGUUAGUUUAACUAUACUGAUGGAAAGCUGCUAUUAUGUCUGUGAGAUCGUAUCCUAUGUUCAGGAGUUUUGUUCUGUUCUAGCUUUAAGCAAAAAUAGAUGAUUAUUACUUAUCUCUUGUUCAUUUGGUAGAAAAACUGAGAGUUAACACUGGGUAAUGAUUUCUGGACAUUUGGCCCUAAAAUUGGAUGUUUACAUGAUAUUCUCUUUUAAUCUCUUGAUUGGCAGCUUGAUGUUGAACUUGCAACACACAUACAUCUGGAACAUGAUGGACCCAAAAGAAGGUUUGUUACAUUUCACACUUCUAUUCUUUUAGCUAUGCAUUUAUGAUCAUAAAGUCUAAUAUGGGUACAGACACCACUAUAUUUAGUUGUUUGAGAAUGAGCUAUGACCAGAAGUUCUUGAUUACUUUCAUAUGAACUAUUUCAAAUUUCCUUUCACUUCUUUAGCUGUAAGUUGUCAUGGUAGUCAUCUGAAUCUGCUCUAAGGUUGGAAUGCCAUUCUAUACCAGCAACCGGUUAUGUUAGUAAAGUUAAAUCCUCUAGAUAACGUCGUGGGCAUUUAGUUCUACAUACCUGCAGAUUUCAGUGUGUAUCUUAUCAAGCUAUUUCAUAUUCACUUAUAGCAUAUUUCUCGACUGCUUUAUCACACUAUGACAUGUGUCAUUUACUCGGGCAGUCGCUAGCGUUUGAAGUCAUAAAAAUAGGGAACUGUGUGGAGGCCUAAAUGAAACAUGAAAACAGAGGCGAAUGUCAAAUUCAUACUUAGAUUUCAUAAUGUAUAUCAUUUACAGCGAGGAAAAAGCUGGUUUUUCCUCAUGUCAAGGCAACUUUGAAACACAGAAAGUCAUGUGUUUUCUUUUUUUUUUUUUCAUAGGCCGAAGGAAGUAAUUAUUUUGCUUUGCAUGUAUUCUCCAGCUUGCUUUACAUUGAGACAGCUGAUCGACCUGGACUACUGCUCGAGAUCAUCAAAGUUAUAACAGAUGUAAAUUUAGAUGUGGAAUCAGCUGAAAUAGACACCGAAGUAUGUUUGCUUCUGAUUUCUCUGUUCAAAAACAAGGAUAUUCCACAAGCAUUUUUUGUCAUUCUUAAUUAUUGUAAUUUGCAGGGUCUCAUAGCUAAGGAGAAGUUCCACGUGAGCUACAGAGGCGCGGCAUUGACCGACCCCUUAUCUCAGGUCAGGUUAUCUUAUCUUAUAACUAGUUCUUUCAACUUCGUUUUUACAGGGAAUAAUUAUAUGGUUUCCAUUAUGAGAGAGUUGAUGUUGCUAUGAUUACUGUAGACAACAUCUAAAACAUCUCUUAAGUUUGAUCAAGAAGUGGACAAUUUGAGCUUUACAUUUUUUUUUUUUCUUGGCAUAAUUUUAAGGGGCUUGUGUUGUCUCAGCUGCUGGUUAACUGUCUCCGCUAUUACCUCCGAAGGCCUGAAACGGAUGAAGGCAGCUACUGACACAGUACCUCAGCAAUUCAGUAACACAAAUGGAAGGAUCCAAGAAUUUUAAGCAGGUCAACUUCCAUUCUUCCCUUAAAGAAACUGAUUUCUGUAACUCCUUACCACGUAUCUCACCUUCUUACUUUUUACAACAUGUGUUCGAUUCGGAUUCUGAUCUUACCUAGUAACUCUCAAUUGUUGGACAUUGUUUACACCGAUUUAGGAGCUAGCUGAAAGGCUUUUGCCAUUGGCUGCUUCUGGAUGUAACAAUUGUUACAUUUCAAUUCAAUUGUUGGUAAAUGAUGGGCCAUAGUUUUAAUUCGCCUCCAUUUGAAGUAUUGUUUGUAAGUCUGAGCAAACAGAGCGUUAGAAUAGCCUCUUCUGUUUGUUGGAGUUGGGUGGGCCAUCGGCAAAACGGAAACCUUAACCUCUGCAUUCCCUGCGUAGAAUGUGGAGUGGGCACUUGUGCCUAUUUGAAUUUGUUGAGCUAUUAGGCAAGAUACUGCCUUGCCUAUUUGAAUUUGUUGAGCUAUUAGGCCAGAUACUGCCUAAGAUCUGUUCCUACAGGAAACCCAAGUUAGUGCUAUUGCCAAUUGGUUGCCGAUCUCUGAUUCAUGCCUAUAGUUAUCGAUCUAAGAUUAUAGUGUGUUGAUUGAGAAAGAGCUUAAAAGUUUCAAUAGCUAUAACCUGUUACUUUUGUUAGAAUUCUGUUUUUUGCUUGUGUAGUUUUGUAUAUUCCCAGGAGGAGGUAGUCCAAGUGAAGAUGUAGGGAGCACUUUAUCAACCUGUUGUUUAAUAGUUAAUUAAAUGCGUAGUCCAAAGGAAAAGAACCUUCUAAUUUUCAUAAAUAACAAAAACUUCAUUUUUUUAAGAUCCUUAGUUAUAAGUAGGUAGAAGCAGAAUAUUUUACAAUGAUAUUUUUGCUUGGCGAAAAACAUGAAAUAGAGGCUAACUGUGACCACAACUUCAGAAUCAUAUCUGUCUAGUAGUUGCAUCAAACUCUUCUAGCUUAGUUAUUGGGAGUGGAGUAGAAUAGAGCGUAGAGCAUCUCAUUCCAAGCAUCUGGGACUCCCGGCAAGCACCAGUGGCAACAAUCGGAAACCAGGAAUUCGGUAUUGCUAUGCUGCUCUUGCCCGCCAUGAGCCCUCGUGGCGUAGAUUGAAGGAUGACCGUCCUGACGGAGAGCCGCCAUGCUCGUGAUUUCUUGGAGGUACACUGGAAAGAUCAUCUUCUUCAACACUUCCCUCAGCACCACCAGCUGCCCCGCAACACGCUGGCUGUGGCCCAAGUACGCCAGGGGUUCCCUCUGCUUGUAGCAUUGCCACCCGUUUAUCCUAUUUAACCCAGCCACCCCAUUAAUGACUUUAGUUACUACUCAAUAGUCGAUCAGAUUCUAUAUGACGAGUGUCUUGUACCUGUUGUGGCGCGGCGACGAGCUUCGGAAGAUGACCGUAGCUCUUCGAGGGUCUAAAUUCAGGUCCACCCACUUAGCCCAAGUUGUUAGACCCUUCUCAUACGCAACCAUAGGGUUCAGAUUUGUGAAUACCCUUCCCCCUUCCUCGUAAAAAUCCCACCUUCCAAAGCCCAGAAAAUUUACUAUUGUGUUAUUUUGUUAUUCAUUAUCUACGGCCUCCUUCAUUGAUAGAUUCAUCAAGGAAAACAGAAAAGAGAGUAGAAAAAAUAAUAAUAAUAAAUUAGGUGAGACUAGAAAUCUUAUUACGAGCUCCAUUUUCCGGAGUGAGUCCACCAGUGAGCAGAAUCGAACACAAGGACAUCGACCCCACGCCAGUGCUUUGCGUUCUCUUCAAUGCAAUCCAAGCACAGGACUCUCUUGUUCUCCUCUUCUUCCUUCAAUUCGACUAAAAGAGGAGCCCAUGAGAACUCAAUGGACGCCUCAAAAUCCUGCAAUCAACCCACACAUCAUUUGUUACCUCUGUUUCGAGAUGUAAUUACCAGAUCGAGCUAGUAGUAAACUUAUACCUUGGCCUGGAAUGCUAUGGUAGAUGGGCCAUUGGAAUAAACCAUUUUUCUCUCAUUGGGUAUUACUGCUUCUACUAAGCAAACAAGGGAUUCCCAUUGAUUCCUCAUUAUAGAAUCCCCCACCAGCAUCACCCUUUUCCCUCUGAUUCUGUUGAGGAAAUCCAGUGCAUUGAACCUAAAGAUACGCACCACUUUGGUUAGCCGAGUCGCACCACAUGAUUUUGAGCUUCCUAGGCACUAACGAGAAGUCCUUUCUUUUUGCUAUAAAAAUAAAAGAAUUUAGUUUAGAGCUUUUGCUUUUAAGAUUCAGAACCUUAUUUUUUAACUCCCAACCGCCGCCAAAAAGUUCAAGACUUUUCUUAAUGAUAAAGUUAUUAAUAUAUAGAAUCACCCAUGUUUCCCAUGUUUCCGUAGUAAAAAUUAUUUAUCCAAUUAUUAAUUUUUUAUUUCUCAAAUACUUGACUAUCGAAGAGAAGCUGCUCUUGAAACUAGGCCAAAUAGUUCCGCCGCCGUGGAACUAUGUUUACCUCGGAAUAGAGCAGUGCUGUGGCUUCCACCGCCACCUCUGGUAGUCGGAAUCCGGCCGGCCAUUGAGCUGACAGCUGAAUUGAGUACUAAGGUAGGGGCAGCUGGCUUCAUAGAGAGGAUACGACGCGUCGAACACCCACUCACCAAUCGACAGAUCGCAGUCGGUCGCAAACGGCGGCUGGUUCUGAUUAAUCUUUUCGAUCGCGUCCUCUUUCUCUCCUCCCCACCUGAAAUUGUCCAUGGUUAGGUGAUCAGAUAGAGAAGCUCUUGCCAUUGUGAAGAACACAUUGGUGAGGCAUAAGAAGAAGAAUAGUGAUGUUGGGUGGAGGUUUAAUUCUCUAGCCAUUAACUGGCAAUGGACUGAAUUAGAUUGGAUGUGGGGUGCAAGUGAGCUUUGUUUAGAUGAAUCGUAAGCUUGUUUUAUAUAGUUGGAGGAUGCAUGGUUACUGCUUUUGUUCAUUAUAACUGAUGAGGCGCCGAAACUUGCGGGGAGACGUGGAGUUUUUCUUUUUGCUCAUCCCCGUGAUGCAAAGGAAUUGAGAUGUCUUGUUUUCUUAUUGAGUGUGUUGGCCACGAGCACACCAACAUGGCUGGGUAGAGAGAGAGAGAGAGAGAGAGAGAGAGAGAGAAAAGAAGAAGCACUUUUUGUUGGGCAUAGAGAAUUUUUCUGCACCCAUCAAUCAUUGUUUACUAAAUAUUUGCAGUCCUAGGAAACGUUCUGGUAGAACAAAACAGUACGAAUCUGACCAACUUUACCAUAUGAACACUAACCACUGUUUAUCCCUGAUUCCUAGAACAGCUUCCCUACUGGAAACUUGCAACCCAUGUACCCGAAAAGCUAUACCAAAAUUUAUUAUCAAAAUUUUCAAAUAAAAAAAAAUGUAUUUGUUAUAAGGGGUAAAAUGAAAGUGUUCAAUUUAAGCAAUAAUUUACUACAAUUUUUGCCUGGCUCCUGAGUUUUUAUGCACUCUCGAAUCACAAACCAGCCCAUUUCCUCCUUCCAACCUCUCUCUCUCCCUCUAUCUCUGUUCUUUUGAACCUUCAAUAAUGUAGUUAGUCAUCGAAUUAAAUGCCAUAUUGAACACAAUUAAGAUAUCUGGAAUUACAAACAACAAACUCAGAAGUCGUAAAUCUUAUUUGCUUAAUAAAUAUGUUUGCGAAUAACAGUCAAAUCAAGCGCUUGGUCACAAAUUUAGAUUUUAAGCAUCUGAGGGCUCCUCUCCAAGAAAAAGUGCCUUGAGGAUUUUAUCAGUCCAUUCUUCGAUUAACAUGAACAAAUGCCCGCCUUUGCUGUUCUCGUGAUAUCGUAUCCAAGGAAGCUUCUUUGAUAUGUAGCGCUGCAGCUCGGCCGGUAUCAUCCUAUCUUCUCGCCCUUGCCACAGGUGAACAGAUCCCUCAUUGUUCGGAAAUGGGUUGGUUAUAUUCAUCGGGUCGAACUCCCAUGUGCCAAAUGCUAUCAGAUAGUCUCGGUGGAUCGAUUCGUAUUCGCCUUGUUGUCUCGCUUUGUUCUGGAACAAAAACAUGGUAAGUUGCAACUGUCAUUCAUCUCUCCUUCUCAAGGAAAUGUUAGUUUGCAUUUAUACGAGCAUCGCAAUGUUUAGGUGAUCAAGACCCUAAGUGUGAUUUUGGUCGGUGACGCUUACCUCGGUGGUAAGCAUUGGCAUCGCCAUUAUCUUCUGAAAGAUCUCCUUAUCUUGCUUGCUGAAUAUGUCAGGGUGCAUUGUGGCUGAAGCUGAUGCGGGAAACCACUUUUGGGUCAUCCACCAAUGGAAGAGGAAAGGUAUGUGAUGUGCAACCCAUAGAGCCCUCUGUUCUUGCGCAAGUAUUUUGCCGAACCCCUCUUUAGCUAGCUCGGUAGGGAAAGAUGGCCACCAGUAGUUGAUCACCGGCACCACCAGUGCUGCUCCAGCAAGCCUACAUUCCGAAUGUUCGCGAGUUUAAAAUCGAUCUCUCUAACAUGUUUUCUAGGAAAGAAUGUGUUCGGACUUCUAAAGUUAAAAAUUCUUUCCAUCAGGUUACAUGGCAGCAGAAACAGAAGCAGUUUCAGAUUAGAAUAAAAGUUUCUAGCAUCUAGAUAUAGAACCAUAUAGUUGGCUUCCUAGCCUGUGUCGGCAGGCAAACUGAAACCUCUUAGCCACCAUUGGAAAUUCUAAAUUCUACUUUUUUUGACCCAGAAGCUUAUUUCAACGUACUGCCGUAGAAACUCUGAACGUCUUAUUUACCAAAUUUCCAGGUGUUGCUUUCUAAAGCAAGAGAGGCUUUUCUCAUUAGCUUGUCGGCCGAACAGGCCUUCAGUAUCAGAAAUAAAUUUCUUUUCCGAGAGAUCGAAAAUAGCGAGCUGUAAGAUACAAGCUGUUUGUUUCUCACCUGUGAGGUAUGUAAUUUAAGCACCCCCACACUGGGUGACCUCCCAUGGACACUCCCAUCACAUAGAACUUGGACCCAAUCUCCAAUUGAUCCGCGAGCUCUUCUAUAUCCAUAGCAUCACUCCUCACGCUUCGCUUCGGAUUCGGAUCACUCUCCCCAUAUCCUGGCCUAUCGAAUUGAAGAAAAUAUAUCCCCAGAUCCUCCACAAGCUUCUGUUAAACACAACAAUGUUCUAAUGUUAGUUAGUAGAGAAAACAAUUAAAGCCUUAACAAAAUAAUUAGGAACUUAAAAAAAAAAAAACAAAAGAAAUCUCGAAUUUUUACUUGAGAUGCAGGUAUAAGAAUGUCUUUGGUAGCAUCAAGUCCAUGAACAACUAUGAGUUUAAACUUGGCUUUCUCCUUGGGCACUCCUGCUUCUUUGUAAGCUAGGUAUCUUCCAUCUCUGAGCCUGAUCCUGGGGGAUCUAACAGGGGGGCCAUUUUGCGAACCGCAAAGUGUCGGAGGGGGAGGUCGCAAAAUCGCGUGAUAACCCCAGGCUAGUGAAAUGAUCAGCAGGGCCAACAAUAUUCCUGGGAAUCGCAUAGUCUCUCAAUCUAAGUUAAUUUUGAGUAGAUAUUACUCAUUAGGAUCAGUAGUUGCUUUAUACAUGCAUUAUUGCUAGCAGGUACUUCAAUAGUUUUCUAUACAUGGAUUAUUGGUAGCAGGUAGUAGUGCUACUUUUCUUUUUUCCUUUUCAGUUAGGGCCAUCUCUUUCAGAGUUUUCUGGUUGUGGAUGCAAAUAGGGCAGAUCUGAAGGCGAGAGGGUCCCCCACCUCCCGUCAUCUCUUUUUUUUCUUUGGCAAGUCGGAACGAAUUUUGGGCGGAUUUGAUUCUAUCAUAUUUUUUUGUUUUUACUUAUUGUUUCAUUCGAACUGGUUGGAGCGGAUGCGAAUUUUUAGCAGACUAUAAUGGAGCAAAGGAAGAAAUGGGUCUCAUGCUUCCUACUCUAUUUCUUAGCGAAUUGUUGUGGCAGAUUUAGAACAAAUUAUUUUUUUUCUUAUUUUUAGCUUCUAUUUUUCAUUCUAUUCGGAACGGAUCGGGACAGAAUCUCCAUCAACCCGGAUCCAUUAGCAUUCCUAUUUCUAAUAUAGUGUUAGGUUCGAAGAUUUAUAUUUCGAGAAUAGUGAAAAACAUCUCAAUAAAUAAUAUCCAUAUAUUGCUAUCUUCAGAAUAAAGAGUUUUUUUUUCUUUUUUUUUUAGAGAAAGAUAACAAGUUAUUCGUUUCGUUCGCUUUUUAUAAAUUAACUUAGCUAGAAAUAUAAAGUAAAUAAACUUUAAAUACAGAAUCUCAAAUAUCAUUACUUAAUUUUUUUUAAUCAAAAGACUUAUUUUUUCUACCCAACUCUCAGCGGAGGUAGUUGGUGACUCCGAUGUGACUGGUACAACAACAACUUCUCAACUUACUAACUGUUAUGGUCCCUGUACCAGUAGUACAUUAAUUACUUUUCAACUUCUGACCGUCCUUAGCGUAAGUGGUAAAAAAUUUAAUGAUUGGUAUAUUAGGUCCCAAAUUCGAAUCCUAGUUAAUUUAUAUUUCUAACUAAAUUUAUUUUUAAAUAAAAUAAACGAAGCGGGUAGCAUACUACCUAUUUUUUUAAAAAAAAGAAAUUACUUUUCGACUUACUAGGAGUUAGGUGGAGGUGGAGACUUAAGGACUUGGAAACAUUGGCAAUUUAAUGAGGUUCUUUUGUAAGGUUUCCAAUUGUUCAGGCUUUUGAUAUUGUCCAAGGUUCUUUGUCAUUUUCUAUUGAUGGUUCUCUUCUGUAAGGAGAUGCCUAUUGCCCAACAACCAGAAGUUGAAUUUUCAUUUUAUUUUUUUUAUUUUAACCCCACAACUUGUUCUAUUCCACAUGUGACAUGUGCCAUUAUCAUUUAGAACACCUUUCCCAGCACGUUAUCUUCGAUUGAAGUCAAUAUAAGUGUGAGCAAUUAAAAAUUUAUUAACUAGUACAUACAAUAAAUAUUGUACAUCUAUUUUUACAAGAAUAUGCUAAGCUUUUAGAAAUAAAACUUGGCAUAACUAGAUAUUCUAGGAGAGGUAAAAAUAAGUGUAAAAUUGUAUUUGGUGUAAAAUUCUUGUAUUCUUGAGAAUAAUUAAAAUGAUUGGUAUUUAUUUCUAGGAGAGUGGGAUUAAUAAUAAUAAAAAAAAUUUGUAGUUAAUAAAAGGUUGAAGACUAUAUAUUUUAGCACAUUAUAUAUUUAAUAUAUUUAUUACUUUAUAUAAUAUUAUAUUAUAUAUUAUAUUAUAUGGUGUAUUACAGGAUAAUAUAUCAUAUAAAAAUUGUAGUGUAAUAUGAUAAUAGUAGCAGCUGCAGUUGUAAUAAUAGUAGUAGUAAUAAUAACAAUAAUUAUCAUUUUAUAUUACUUUAAUUAUUUUUAAUAAGGUAAGCAUAAAUAGAAGAUUAGUCCUAUUUUUCUAAAAUGAUGGCGAAGUUAAUUUUUAUUGUUUCCGGUUUGUUCCUAACCAAACAUAGCAUGUUGUUUUAUAAAAAAGUUGGGCAAUUUAAUUUAAUCGGUGUAAUGAUCUAGACUAAUAUCAAUAUUAGAUGAAUAAUAUUUACUAUCUACUUUUAAGUUUUAACUUUUAGUUGAAAUACUAUUUCACCUGUCACCACUAAACCUAAGGCAUUCAAGGGCCAAAAAAUAGAAAAUACUAUUUCUUUAGUAUCAAAAAUAUUUCCUCAUCUCCCUUUAAAUCACAUUGGAAACUCAAAUAGUUUUGGGGGUACAACAUUACUCUUCCAAGGGUGUAUAUACAUUCAUAGGACAUCUUGAGUAGGAAGACGCUUAAUUGUUGGGUUAGUAAUAUCAAAUUCACUUAUUAGUCUAGUUAUUUUUAUUUUGGAUAUGGUUUAACAAUUCAUGUAAUGAGCUAAUUAGUAAUUGAUUUGGACUUUAGUUUACUUAUUUGGUUUUUUUUUUUUUUUUUUAGAAAAAGAUAGCACGCUACCGACUUUAUUCAUUGAAUUAGUUUGGUAGGAUUCUCUUUUUUUGAGAUAGAGGAGAGAGGUGCAGCUAGUGAGGGUUGGAGAAGGAGCUCUUUUGUUCUUCUUGCUUGAUUCAGAACUUCUAAGGUUGAUUGGAGGUAUUCUAAGAGGUAUUUUGAAGCGGAUUUCACAGAUUCGGAAGGUGUUUCGAUGAAGGUGUAGCAAGAAAGGUUCAUUAUGGUACAAUGUGUUCUUGAGAUCAAUAUAAUAUAUGUCAAACUAAUUAUUAAAGCUGAAGUUAAACUCAGACAAAAAUCCAGUGGUCCAAGGCAUAAAUAGGGGGGCAUUCAUUAGUACAUAACUAGUUAAACUAGUAAAAAACGGUGAUCAUCAUGAUCAGCCUAUAACUGUAUGCUAUGAAGCCUGAAACAUUAACAGUUUAUGAAUCUCCCAGCAGUAGUGAUUUUACAAUAGCAUCAGCCAUUCCAUCUGCAAAGGGGAAGAAGUGGCCGGCCUCGGGAAGCUCGUGGUAGCGAAUCCAGGGGAGCUUCUGGGCGAUAUUGCUCGCGAGGGCGACCGGCACGAUCCGAUCCUGAGCGCCGUGCCACAGAUGCACCGAUCUGUUGUUCUCGUGAAACGGAUUGUUUAGGCUCAUCGGGCUGAAUUCCCAGCUUCCGAACCCGACCAUCAGGUCGCGGUGAACGGACUCGAAUUCUCCUUGUUGCCUCACUUGUGGCUGCAGGAACAAAAUAGUCAUUAAGUCAUUUUCAUGGAUCAAAAGAUGAUGAUUAAGAAAACUAGCUAAUGUAGAUAUAAUCUUCAUAGGAUUCUGAAGUACAUUUACGGAAUAUAAAGGAUUGUUGAACAAGAUUAUGUUAGCAGGAAAAGGAAGAGAAAUUCGUAACCAUGAUGAAUUUUCCAGACAUAAAUGGUCUACCUACGAAUUUUGUGAUGAGUUUUACAGAAUAAACAGUAGAUAUUGGAACCUUUUAGCCUCUCAUCUCUAUGGUUCACAGAUGAAUAGAUCAGCUUAUUGCUGCUCAGCAGGCAUUGUUGUUGUUCUAGUACAGUUUCUUUUCAUUCACAUUCAAUUAGAGUAAACAAAUUACAGAGCAACCAUUAUAUAUACAGGAACUUAUCAUACCAUGUAGGUUGAUCUAGCGGCGAAUUUGGGCAUGAGCUUCACGUCUUCGGUAGAGAAAAUAUCGAAACGAAGAGAUAUAACACUCGAACACGGAAACCUUUUCUGGGUAUUCCACCAAUACGUCAACCAAGGAGCGUAGUGAGCGACUCGAACUGCCCACUGAUCUUGCGGAAGCUGUUUUGCGUAAGCUUCCUUCGAUACCUCGCGUGGAUAACCGUCCCACCAGUAGUUGGCGACAGGUGCAAGAAGUGCUGCUCCAGCAAGCCUAUCACAUUUUCGAAUUCAGCAUUCGAAAGAGAAGCGAAUCAUGCAUGAUAUUGCGUUCGGAACAAAGAGAACGGCGAAGAAUCUUAACCCCGAUAUUCGACCUUGAUCCUAGUUUCAUCCGCGACAUACAACCAUGAUUUUAGCAUCAUUCUCAAAGUUUCAAUUUUUAUGCAAUCAAGUCAUGUGUCGUUUCUCAUCGGCACCGUCUCAGAGAGUAGGUUAGGAGAAGGAUUUCAAGGUCGCGCAAAACAAAUGUCAGGUACUAAAUUGUCGCAACUGGAACUAUACGGGUGAAAUUGAAAUCCAAGUCAAACUGUAUAAAAGAUUUAAGUUUUGUGAUAAACCUCGAACCAAUAUAGCUUGAUGCUUCUCAUUACGACAAACAUGAAUGCAGAGUCAUGAGUACAGAGAGUACGAAAAACAAAUCGUACCUGUGGGGGAUGUAUCUUAGACAACCCCAAACAAGUUCUCCUCCCAUAGAAAAACCGAUAACAUGGAAUUUGGAUCCUAGCUUCAAUUGAUCAGCAAGUUCUUCGAUAUCUGUAGCCGCGCUUUCCACUGUUUUUGUUGGGUGUGGAUCACUCUCACCGUACCCCGGUCUAUCAAAGGAGACCAAGUGAAUUCCUUGUUCUUCAAUAACUUCCUGAAAUGACCAGUUUUCGGUAAACUAAAUUACCUAUUAAAAGAGGCAAUUAGCAUACACAAAGAAAGAUAGAGAUACAGAUACAAAAACAUAAACAUUACUUGGGAAAUACGGAGCGCAUCAUAUCGGCAAGAGUCGAAGCCGUGGACAUAGAUGAUUUUGUGUUUUGCCUCUUCUUUUCGGACUCCAUGUUCCAUGUAGGCUAAGUGCCUACCAUCUUUGAGCUUGAUCCUGGUUGAUGUAACAGGGGGGCCAUUUGUAGACCCACAAACACUUGGUGGGGGAGGUUGAAUCCAUUGAUGUAACAGUGAAAAUAAACCCACCAUCAAAACAAGUAAAAUUCUCUUGUACACUCCUGCAAAGAUAACAGUAAACUUAGAAGAGGAGCAACCCGAUGCGUUAACAUUAAGUGAGAAGCUUCACUACGUUGAGGCUCAUGGAAUCCUCUGCUGUAAGUAACCAGAAACACAUGAAUAAUCAGCAUCGAAAAGCAAAAGAAUUCACAUUUAUAUUACACUGUUUAUUGAAUUUUAAUGCUUUAGAGUCGAAUUUAUUAGCGUAAUCGGCAUGCCAUGCUUAAGAUUCGGAAAGAAACUUGGCCAGAAAAGUCUGCAUUAUUAUUGUUCAACAAAACAAGAAGUCAAAGACUCAUGCAACAAAUGUGACAAAAAAUAGAAAAUAAACAAAAAUUGUCGUGGGACGCAGAAUUGCGCUUUCUAUGAUUCUCUUCGACGAAGCAAAACUGAUCGUUACGAUUGGAUGUUAUACAUGGCCAAUAAUUUUAGUAAUAAUCCACCGCAUCGCGUGAGGAAGGGGUCAUAUUUGUGGAAAGAUGAAUUAGAGGACAAGAACUCCGACGAAUUAACAGGCAAAACCACAUAAAAAGAAAAGUGGUUUUUUUAAAAAAAAAUUACUCUGAUGGAGAAUGUUUUUCCCUCUUACAAACUUAUGCUAGUUAUCUUUGGUAAAAUAGAAACACCAUUUCACUCAUGAACUACACCACCCUUAUAAAUUCCGCUUCUGCGAAAAACAAAUAAAAGCUUACAUAUAAACAUGUUAAUUAAUCAGUUGUAGAACGUAUAAAUGAUGGCAAUGAUACUGAUAGUGCGACUCUUGUUAGCAAUACUUUUUAAUCAAGAUCAUUUGUAGUAAAUAUACAGCGACUAGAUUCUGUGAAUCUGACGCAUUAAAAAUAUCAAUAGAAGAGUAAAUGAUCAAACACAAAUAAAUAUUACAGCGAAUAAGAUGCAUCAACGUUCAUCGACCGAAACAUGUUGAUCAACAAAGAUCACACUCGACGCAUGCACCCGCUAAGGGAGAAUUUUAUCACAUAAAAAGGGUGCGACAAAGAGAGAGAGAGAGAGAGAGAGAGAGAGAGAGAGAGAGAGUCUCACCAUAGAGUGGGGAGUUGGAGGAGGAGUGAAAUGAUUUUCUCGUUGACACUGCCAUGUUCUUUGUUUUAUUUUUAUUUUUUUGUUGGGUUGGGGUUGGCUUUCCUAGCAAGUUCUGUAACAUAUGUUGUGGAUAUAUAGAAGAAGAAGAUACGAGCGAGGAGGGAAAAAUCAAUGUUCAAUGGCGGGAUGCACAAAAAGUGUCCUACUGCUGAUCUUCUAGAACAUCAGGUUUCAACUUAAAAAAAAAAAAAAAAAACAAGAAUCUAUCCAAAGAGGCCAGGAUCGAACCCCCCGUGUGUACAAAUUAAUGGGGAUUUAUUUAUUCCGCGGCCUUCUUGGUAGGUAUGGGUGCGUGAAUGUAUCGGCCUAUAAGUCGGCUUUGUUGUAAUCUUACUGGUUUACUCUAAAUAAAUAAAUUAAAAAAAUUGAGAGAAAGGUAUCAUACUGUCUACUUCGUUUAUUUUUUUAAAAAAUAAAUUUAGCUGGAAAUGUGAAUCAACUAAGAUUCGAAUUUGAAUUUUGGAUACCAACCACCAAACCUUUUAACACUUGCACUAGAGACGGUCGGUAAAUCUCCAGAAAAAAAAAAUUUUUGAGAGAAGAAAUGGAAAGAGAAUAUAUGGACAGAGAAAGAGAGAGUAUAUUCACUAUAUUCUUAUAAGUAUAGAUCUUUUUAUACUCAUAAAUUUUCGAUCGUUAGAUGAAGAAAUAUGCGGUCAAGAUAAUAGUGAUUUCUAGUUAGGAUGAUAAUUGUAUUGUAGGGUUUAGUAAAUAGUUGGUCGAAUAGUAUAAUCUAAUGGAUGAAAAUUAUUAAAAGGAUAAAUUUAACAGUCGAAAACUUAUAAAUACAAAGGAGUCUACGCUCAUAAAAAUAUAGUAGUAAGACUCUCUCUCUCUCUAUAUAUAUAUAUUACUUUUCUAUUCUAUUUUCUCUAUUCAAAUGACCAUUAAAUUUAAGAAACUCUCAAUUAGAUUUAGGAAAAACCACUCAAUCAAAAUUAUUAUCUAUAGUUGGGGCCUAUUUCAAAAGGCAGCCUCCAAAUACUUUUACCGUUUCAAAGUAGGCCAUAGUUGAGAGGGUCUACGUACUUUUUUUCUAUUUUUUAACCAUAACAUGAAAAUAUCCUACUUUUUUUUUUAACCGUAACAUGAAAAUAAAAUAAAAUAAAAUUAAAAUAAAAGCACACACACAGUCACACACACAAACGGGAACGCCGUAUGUCGCUGGUGUACACAUCAACUAUUAAUCUGGAUUUGGGGUUCGGAAUAAAAAAUGGGCCCUUAUUAGACCGAUUAGGCUGUGGUCAACUGCGUGGGCCCAGAUCGUGGUGGACCCGGUGCACAGAUUUGACCCGUAUCGCACCGACUUACGCAAUGCAAAUAAGGUGGGGCCAACAUGUCUACGAUACGCUCCAACCGAAACAACGCGGGAGUGAAAACUUUCUAUUUUUGAUUAAAAAAGAGAAAACUUUAAAAAAAUUCUGUAGUUUCGCACUUUUUCAUUUAGUAUCCUGUGGUUUAAAGUGUACCAAGUUAGUACUCUUUGAUUUUAUUUUUGUAUCAAGUUAGUACUCUGUGGUUAUACUUUUCUCUUAAUGAAAUAUUAAACCACAUAGUACUAAAGUGAGAAAGUGUGAAACCACGGGAUACUAACUUGAUACACUUUAAACCAUAGUAUACUAAAGUGAGAAAAUGCGAAACCACAGGGUACUUACUUGAUACAUUUUUAACCACAGGAUACUAAAUAAGAAAGAGGGAAACCACAAGAGAGUAUUUGAAGUUUUUCCUUAAAAAACCUAGACACAUCAAAAAUAGAACUAUCGAAUUAGUGGGUUGGGUUUAAACACCAUAAAAAUGUAACCGGCCCAAUAAGCCCAAUAGGAUGUUGUACACGAUGUGGCCCAACGAAACGCCCCGGGCUUAGUGGUAUGCCCAAUCCAUCUCUUUCAUAAGUCAACUUUUGGGUACUCUCCUUUUUAACCAAAAAUAAAAAUAGAAACUUUCCACUUUUUUCUUCAUUUUAUUUAUUUUUUUAUUACACCGAGUAACCUAAGUAAUUCCAGUAAUGGGCUUUUUUUUUUUUUUUUUUUUCUUUUUUUAAGGAUGGAGCAUUGGAGCCACUGGUCACUUGCCAAUGCCCAAGUCUACAAGGCACCAAACAAUUGGGAACUCUCUCUCUUGACUUUUUCUUCUUCUUUUGUUUUCCUUCGGUUCGGAAUUUCAAUUAAUCGGAUUUGUAUAUGUAGAUAAUUUUGAUUCAUGUCAAGUGUUUAUAGAUUUCGUAACUCUCUAUACCAAUAUAUAAAUUACUAAACUAUUUUGUUGAAAAGUGAUCGUUUGCGUCCAUUGAAACUUUCAAAGCAUACGAUAGAAAUCCCAAAGCGACACAAAAAAAAAACUCCACCAACCACUCUCUAUACUCUCUUUUAUGAGCUUCUCUUUCAUUUUAAUUUUUUAUAUAACUAGGGGGUCAAAUUUGACUCAGGAAGCAGAGAACGGAGCCAGUGAGGGCCUCUGAUCGUGUUAAUAGAUUUUGACAGAUGUUGACGUCAGUUUUUUAAGGGCUUCUAGAGAGUCAAAACUGGUGGCUAUAAAAACAUAACAAAUCUUAAGGAUUGUGCUUGCAUCAUCAUAUAAUGUACUUCCUUGUGUGAAAGGAAAAGGAUCCCUUGAUGAAAAAUUCUAAAAGGCAACACGUGUGUCUCGGUGACGUGGCGUAACAAAUCAAUCAAAUACCUCCUUUCAAAAAUGUAUGUCCCAUCAUGAUCAUAAAAAAAAUAUUUUUAUUAUAUUUUUGUUUGAAAAAAAAAAAAAUGAUUGACUUGUUAUUGAUGAUGUGGUGCAAGUACGACGGUGUAGAAUCCCUCCCCUCUGAUGCGGCAACAUCAAAAUUCCUGUACAGAAUAGCGUGUCAGCAGAAACGCCACAUCAUCCCGAUGGAUUUUCCGAGAAUUUAGAUGAUUCCAAAUUCUGAAAAAGUUUUGAGUUUCUUGUAAUUGGUAGUAGUUACCGACGGAGAGUUGCAUUGACCAUUUGUUACGCUCUUGCGUCAGUUCAAGAGAGAAGCCAAAAAAUUAAGGAGACAAAAGAAAGAACCUGCUACAAGUUCUUACUGAUUCAAUUUAUCAGAAUUCAAAGAAAUGGAAUACUCUUCACGUUUUAAAGAGGUGAAAGCAACAUACGUUUCAAUUUAGUCUAUAUUCAGAGUUUUAAGAGUAAAAGAAAUGUACCCAAUACAUCAUUAUGCUGCAGCUCCGUUGUGAUAUCUGCGUUGUUACUUUCGUACACCAAGCUUUAAGAGAUACGUCUCGGGGCGAAAAAUCUUCUUAUCGAGACAUCAGCAUGUAGGACUUUGCGCGAAUCGGCUGCAUGGAUAAUAGAAGAGUAAUAUGUCUCGGGGCGAUAGAAGAAGGAUCAUGAGAUCUCAUAAAUGGUUGGAUUAGCUUCUGUUUUACCGACUGGGUAGUUGAGGACUCUUAUACUUGUUUGGCUUCAUUGUGCCGUUGAUCUUUCUGAAGCCACCAAUUUACCAAAAAAGAGUCGAUAAUGAUCUGUGUGACAAUUUUUAUGUUAACCACAGGUUCAAAUGAGAAAAAGAAAAGAAGCGGAAAAGAGAGAUGAUUAAGAACUCCGGAGGGGGAAUUGGGUCAUGCCAAGUUUCAUCACCUGGUUAAUGUGAGAAGCAACACAUGGGAGAAUUAACAGUCCAGAUUCACCGAGUGCUCCUCCAAGCUGCUCCACAACAGCGACCAUCACAGGCAGUGUUUUCUACACGAAAUUAAAAAUAAAAAAAAAAAGGCCAAUUACUUUAAGCGGGAAGAAGCAUUCUCUUUUUUAUGUUCAUUUAAUGAGUUUUCAAAUGUUUUCAGAUUCUUGAAAAUAAACAGGAAUGUAUAGAAGUCAGGUGCAUACGAACAUACAUACAACAGAGACUCUUACAGUAGAUUGAAACCAAAUAACAAAGAAAUUUACCGACCUUAUUGUAGUAAAAGUUGAUAAAGAAAGUGGGACAAAAGGGGGAGUGGCUAUUUUUGACCUAUUUACUAGGAUUACAUAACAAGAGCCUUCUAGAUACACAGAUCUUCAAGCAAAAGUUAAAACAAAUCUUCAUCAUUCUAAGAAAAACAAAAAAAUAUUUGUCAAAAGUGCCAUUCACCCAACAACUCUGCGGACACCUAAAGUGGUGAUAGUCUGUCAGACAUUAAUUAUACGAUGGCAAAAUUCUACAACUUAAAAUAGUUUCUAUCAUAGAAUUCGCAAGGAUAAUACUGUAUGAUGCCAACUAAAUAGCCAAGUCAACAUACUAUUUGUUUUCUAUGCAUAUACAAUAAUGGUAAUGUUGAUAGUUAGGAUACACAGAAAAAUGAUAAUUACUGACCUGACUAGCAACUACUAUGACAGCACGAGCAUUUUCUUUCUUUGCAUAGACUGAUUCUCUACCUCCGGAGACUAGUGAUAGUAUCUGCACUGCUAUGGCAUUCAGAGCCAACAGAACGAGAUGUAGAAUUCUGUAGCAAGAAAACAGGUACUUGACAGUUAAUACAGUAUCAUCGCAUUAUUGGAAUAAAUAAAGCAAGCUAUAAAAAUCUUCCAAUCUCGCAGCAGUGUAAAUUCAUGGCGGUUGAAGAAGAGGCAGAAAAUUUGGGUAGCAACUACAUACAUUCCCAUAGCAAUAGCAACAGCAAAAGCUUGUGGCUUAACUGUUAAGAAAAGUGAUCUUGAUCUGCUUACUUGUAUCCAUGGAACCUGUAGUACAGCAAAUAAAAUAUUCUGAAUAAGUAAGAAAAUUAGGGUUGAGAAGAAGAAUACUUGAGCAAUGCAUGCUGCUAUGCUGAUACAUGCCCAGAUAUCAAGUACGAUUUAUCAAGUACUACAAGUAUGCGAGAAGCAAUGCCUUCUAUCGUAAUUCAAAACAGGGAUCUGCAGACAUCAAAUUACUAAUUACUGUUCACUAUAGGACCAGUUUGAUAUUUGGCAUUACACCUCUACCCUUAGCAUAAGCUUGGAAGCUAAGGACGCUUACCUGGAAACUUGAAUUAAUCAUCAUUUAAGUAAAGAAUUAUAUUAUUGGUAAUUUUAUGUUACUUGUCUUUUAGCUGCGAGGACAUUCUGUUCAAUAAGUUCCACCAAAAUGCUUGUUAUCUUCGAUAGUCAUAUAACUCCAUUUCGGGGAUCCAGUGUUCCCUGCCUACUACUUGUCCUUAACUGUUCUACACUGUUGAAUUCCUUCAAAUAGAAGCUGAAUAUUAAUAGAAGUAUAAUACAUGAAUCCUGACCGUCUAAGAAAGACCUAGAUGAUUGAUCCAAACCAAAAGGCCGAAACUUAAGUCUGCAGAAGGAAACAUUUGCAUAAUAGAUAAAGCAUAUGUCAUUGCACACCAACUUGUGAAUGCACUUCAACAUAAUACUUCAAACAGUAAAUGGAAAAAAUUAGUAAACCUCGUCCAAAUGAGGUCAUGUAUGAUACUAGAGAAAAGCAGAAUCAAUUCAUACUAGGCUAAGCAGUAUGGCGCUUAUCAUCGAAAAAGCACGCCGGUUUUGAUCAGCGAACUCUGCUACACCUGCCAACGCAACCAUUAAAGCAAAAUAAAUAGGCAUAACUCAAAUAGAGUUAGUUGUUUUAGAAGCUGGUGCUAAAGUGAAUGAGAAGCAUAAGAGCAAAUGCAAUCCAUAUACGAACACAAUUAGCUCCGUAUACUUUCAAGUUAACAAAGACAUAUGAAUCUAGAGGCAAAAGAUGGUAACCUUCCAUUCCUGUUGCAAAUUAUAAUCGUUGAAGUCAAAAUUGCACAUUAUCCACCGAGCUUAGUUUCCUUUUUUUUCUAAUAUAGAAAAUCUUUGAUAUCUGAUGUAUGUCCCAUUCCAAUCCUCGAUGCACAGGAGCCAAAGAGACCAACUAUAAAUAGCAUUUACUCUUUUAACAGAAACAAUCGCUACACCAACACGUAUUACUAACCUCUAAAAUAUAAAAGAGAUAUUAGAUUCACAAUACUGUAUACAAUCUAAUUAGCUCAGAUACAAAUAUGAAUUCUUAAGCCGUCAUGCUUGUACAAGCACCCAUUGAAAUAAACCCUAAUAAAAACCUACAGGUAUAUACACCGCAUGUAUGCAUUCUUUUUAUGGAAAAACGGGACAAAGCACUUGAAAGUUUACAUGAAUUCCUGAAUAAACACAUUAGUCAAGACUAUAAAUCAUUGUCUAUAAACAUUGAGAAUUAAAUAAUACUUUCAAUUCUGUUAUUCAUGCCUACAUGUUUUGUUGAAAUAUCAUGGAUGUAUCCAUCUAUGGAUGAACAUACCUGUAUACAUAUAUAUAUCCCACAUAUACAGGAAAAUCUUUGCUUUUGCUUUGGUCAUAGUUAAAUGCCCUAAGCCACAAGGGAUAACUAUAUAUAUGCUUAUAAGAAUUGAUCACCUUAAGGGAGGGGCUUGUUACAAAAGGUUAAAAUGAUUUGUGUAUCAGUAGAUACUAUACUAUAGGAAAUUGCAAUCAACUAUGUUGGAUACCAAAACCUUUGCUUAUGUUAGAACGGUUAACAGAUUCAUUUACUCCUUUUACUACUUGAUCUACACAGAUGCUAGCAAAGUCUUGAAGAUCUGAAAAAAUGCCAUUAUAUACUUGAAAAGAAAAUGACUAGCCGUAAUUAUGUUUCUAGCACAAUGUUUGUACAGAGUGCUAGUGAGUGCAUCAACAAGCCUAACAUGAUAUAUGCCCCAAAUUUACUUAACAUAUUUUUGAUAACUGUAAUAAAUCCAAAUCAAUUCAAGACAAACUGAAGAGGACUGACCUUUUAAGGUUUCUCGAACAACCUGUAAAAAAAAGCAUAUGUAAGUUCUUCCAGCUAAGUAGCAUACAGGGAACUCAAUAAAUUUACUAAAACCAAUCAAAAUAAAUAUACGCUGAAAUGACAAAGGUGUUAAAAAAAAGAAACAGGAGCUGAAGUAUUCAACUGGUAACUGACUCUCCUUGUGAUUUCCGAGUAGCUAUUGUUUUCUCAGAAUGCACUUUAUUAAUUGUUUGAUGGUUCUUGAUAAGGUAACGCAAAAGGUAUAUCCAUCAGUCAAACAUAAUAUAAAAGAAAAAAUAAGAAGCCAUUUCCAAGUUGAGCCUCUUGUCUGUCCGUCAUACUGUUAACAAACCAUGCAUACCAGUUUCUGAUUGAUGUUGACAAGGUUGUUACAGGUUAAAUAAAGGAAUAACAAAUCAUGAGGUUUUAUGAUAUGACUUCUGUACUAUGCUAUCAGGGCCAAUCAAAUGUUUUAUCUUAUUCCAUGUAAGUCCUUACAUACUUACAUGAGACCCUUCUUUAGUACUUUCAAAGACGCUCAGUAUACUCCAGACAAUUAGGAACAAAAAAUUCAUGAAUGAAACAAAAUGGCAUCAACGUGUCAAUGUGUUUGCAUAAGGAAAACAAAUAUACUUCCCUUCCCUAAGAACCUUUCAAAUGACAGCUGAUAUAUGAUAGCUCCCAUGCUACAAACCAGCCUUCGAGUUACGGUCAGGAACCCGAACAAUCAGCGAAAAAAAAUUUAGGGAUGAGAUAGUAACAUCUCCAUGAUAACUAUUUUUGACACUUACAAAAGACAUCCUACCCCACUUCCUCUUACCUGGGUACAUUCAAUUAAAGGAAAAUAGCUUUUCGUUUUUUUAAUAAAAGCUCCAGCAGCAAUAUCUUCUUUGACCUUUUGAUAAAACUACAAAAUCCUAACACAAAUUUGCCAUUCACCUAAUUACAAUACAUCAUACAGCCAGUAUUCUGACGGUUUCAUAAGAGAAACUGGAAGGACAAAGUUGGGCACAAUGUUAUCACCGCAAACAAGUGAAAUAAAUAUCAUUUGUAAGUUUAGGAACAAUUAACUUAAAGAAAGAAAAUGCUUGAAAGUCCAAAAAGAAAGGCUAGUUCAUCCUACACCUUUCCUAGAAUGAGGGGGAUCAGAAGAGUGUUGACGAGACUCUUAAAUAGUGGCAUUGUAGGCACGGACACCCCAGCUCCAGCACCAAUGAACAUUGAGAGGGAAAGCGGCACCUAAAACACAAAAGAUAAGCACUAAGACUACCUUCAAUAUAUGAUCACUUAAACACUGAUCAGAACUUUUGAGGUGAGUAAAAAGUUCAACAAAUCUAACAUAAGCAUAGUCAUUACUUAUAAGACUAAAGUAAUGUAUUAGAAUCCAAGCAGUCAUUAGUGUGGGUUAUCUAACCUAUUCAGUAUGUUAACUCUGACCUAAUCACCAUAGCAUGUUAGCCUUCUAUAACUAAUGUGCAACGCUAAUAGUUAUUUGUCACCAUUAGUAGACAAUCUCCAGAAAGCAGAGUAAAUAUUUAUAACAUUUUACUCAACAGAGUCUUUGUCUUUUUUGUUCAAUGCAUUUUUAUUCAACCGAGUCUUCAUCAAGGACAGUGACAACAAUGGUAAUAGAAGCUCUUACUGUUGUACAGUAAUUUUUAAAAUUAUUGCAAACACAGUUUUACUUUCUAGUUUCUACAAAGAGAAGUUCGACUUACAAUCAUAAUCCCCAACAAGUUGGAUAUAACAGUCAUUGCAAGAGCAAGAGCAGAAUUACCCCGAGCAAGCUGCAUUUUUUGGUGAUAAAUUUGCUCUUAGAGACACCGAGUAAUAAGAAGCAGAAAACUGUAACAGAUUGAAGGGAAAAUAUACGAGCUUACCAUUGUUAAGGCGACUCCACUUGAUAAUGUUGUUGGCAUACAGCAAAAGAUAGCAACCCCUGUACCAAAUCACUUCUCUAUCAAGUCAUCUAAGAUGCAAAAUACCAACUAGCAAGAUUAUCCUUGAGAGUGAACUUCGAAGAGUAUACUUUAUUUAUUGACAGCAUACCGGUGACGAAUUCAUGAGGUACCAACUGAAUUUGCAAGAUUAUCCUUGAAAAAAAAGGAGUCAACAGUAGAAUUGAACCCUACAAGGACAAAUAGAAUUAUAAACAGCAGGAGUCAACCAUAGAGUUGAAACAAGAUCUUCUUUGCAUAUUCCUAGUUACUAUGAAAAUGAUCAGGCUAAUGAGCAUUACAAUGCGGUAAGGUUCAACUAAUGCUCAACAAACUACUUGAGAUCAACAUGUAAGUACGAGUGUGUGUUGGAAAUGGCAGAACAAAUAAGGAAAUGCCUAUCAAGAAGAGCAAGUAAACAGCAAAAUCAGCAGCCAUCACAAGACAUAAAUUAACUGUUAAAUUAUAUGAAACAUCCAUUAGUCUUUAAAAGCUUAAGUUUCUAGAGAACGGUGUUUUUAAUAAUUAUAUUCAACACUCCUCACGUCUAGACUUGAAAUAUUUAAUAAGUCCAAGACGUGGACUUGAACAAAAUGAGAGGAAUUUAAUAAUGCUAGUAGCUUGGCGGGACUUGAACUUAGAACUUGCUAUUCCGAUACCAUAUUAAACUAUAUGAAACAACUGUUAGUCUCUAAAAGCUUAAACUGCUAGAGAACGAUGUUUCUAAUAAUUAUAUUCAACAUUAACAAAAGACAGUACUUUUAGAUAGAAAGACAUAAGUUACUUUGUCAGUAGAAUACAAACUUGAGAUCAUACAAGCCCAAAGAGUCCUGCAGGCCAGGCUUCGAUAGCUGCACCAAGUUCUGCAGUUCGCAACAUGAGCCCUAAAUUUUGAAGAUAAUAAUCAGCACAUGAUUUCGAGGACAAGAUUUUAACAGGUGAAGAGGAGGGGAAAGAAAUAUUUGAAUCAUGUCACGGAUUUCCGCACCUGAUAGAAAGAAAAUCCCAAUGGUGCUGAAUUUUGACAGAGAGUAUUUGUGAGCAAGACAACCGAGUGUUGGGUUUGCUAGUCCAAAAAUUAUUCCGCCCACAAGAGCUUGACAAGAAAACGGAAAGGUAAACUUGUCAGAGUUCAGAAAUGCAUGGUUCUGAAGAAAAUCAUUACUCAUUACUAAACAAGCAAACAAUGAUCUCCCCCCCGCCNCUUUACUUUGAAGCCAUGAGGGGUUAUAUAUACAUAAGCUCCUAAUCACAUCGACAAAUAUAUUUCUUAGCAAAAGCUGUUACAACUACAAAAUUAGGAAUAACAACUUGAUCUAUAGUAGGUUUUCUUUUUCUUUUAAAUGGAGAUAUAUAUAUAUAUAUAUAUAUAUAUAUAUAUAUAUGCAUAAACUGGUCAAGGUAACAUUAAAUUUGGUCAGUAAAGAAACCUAUGCUUGUUCAUACAGGAAAUGUAGUAUACCACAUUGGGUAAGCUAAUAUUAAGUUUUGUCCUUGUUUAAGUUUCAGAAUAAUUAGACAUAAAUUGAAGAAAAUUGGAACACCCAUUCAUGGUUUACAUUUCUAUUUAUAACAAAGCAUUGAAUUCUACUUCAAUCAGAAUACAAUUUGUAUCCUAGGAAAAAUGAAAAUUGUGCCUUUGCACAAGAGGAAUAACUCAGAAAGCCCAUUGCUAAGCAAAUAAUAUUCAAGCACAACAAAGAAAAAAUAAAAUGUGACUGUCGAUUGGAAUAAAAUAAUAUUUUGCAAUGAGAAAAAGAAACUGGAGCCCAUAUGUCGAUUAAGGGAAGAAAAACAUAAAAAAUUUUAAGUUGUAAAGUAAUAAGAACAAAGACAGCAAAGGAUGAAACUGGACUACCAGAAAAAAUUGAUUGAAUAUAAGAGAACUGAGUUGGCUGACAAUAUCUACCUAGAGGAAGGAAAUUGCUUGAUACAAAACUCAAUAAUGAUCUUCCCCACUCAAAGACCUUCAGAGUUUCUGAGGCCUCAGGCUGAUUAUUUCCACUAUCAUAUACCUGAAAAAUUGGAGUAAUACGUUAUAGAAAGCAUUGGACGUGCACAUAGUAUAAAACACAUAAAAGAGUAAUAACUACUCUGAUGAAAUGUGUAACAUACAAAAGCACAUCUUGCAGACGACCACAAGUAUGCAAUCAAAUAUGGCAAAGAACAUGCGAAAUGGUUGUAUUAAAAAAGUAAUACCCAACUACCUAGUGAUAUUUAAGUUCAAAUCGCCCGAAAUCCUGCAACCGAUAUGGAUAGUUUUGUGAAAUAAAUAACACUCGAUGAAACUUCCUGUAUGAUCCCAACAACACAUACUAAAAGCGAGUCUAAACCCUAAAUAUAUCCACAUAUUCUAUGGAGAUGCAAUGCCUACGCAGCAACAUUGUGAAAAUCACCAAACCUGAAAUAACUCCUGAUUAAGAUAAAAAAUGCAACAGGAAAAGAGAAAAAAAAAAAAAAAAAAAGAAUACUGAGAUCUCUGAUUCCCAAUGAAGAGUUGCACACUAGCAUCGAGCUUCACCACAAUGACGCAAUAGAAUUAUGAAGAUAAAACCCUUAAGCCUUCAAAUUUCGGGGUAAAUUGUAUCGCUAAGACAACGGAUCUCAACAACAAGCAAAAUAAGACGAAGCUGGUGAAUCGAAACGAUCAUAAACAGGUGGAAUUAACGUGUAAAGGAAGCACCUACCCGAUCGGAUCCUCCUGCGGCCAUUAAAGGCCGCAGAAGCGGGAGGUGUUCUCCGCGGAGCGGUGAAGGAGCAAGGGGGACGACGAACUUGGUGGAGAAUCCGAAGCGGCUUCCCAGAAGAGGAGGUGGAGUUCGCCGGAGAACGCCAUGGGAGGUGGCGUAGGAAGGUUUUGAGCUUAGGGCGUGGAGGGCUACGGCGACCAUGGCGGAGCAGGGCAGAGGAGCAGGGGAAGUUGGGGGAGGAGGCACAAUGAGCACCAUCGAUCGAUUUGGGCAACGUACCUUACUAUGUAAAUGGGCCGGUCCAUGGGCCCAAUUUCUCAGUGUGAGAGCCGGUUUACUAGGCCGGAGUAUGGACCCAACUAUAUUGGGCCGGGCCGUUCACUCUCUCUCUCUCUCUCUCUUCUCCGCCGCGGCGUUUCGCCGAUUCCUCGGUGCGGAAGAUCUCGUCCGCCGAAUCCCGGGCGCCUCACACGCGGACGGCUAGGAUCAGCUCAAGGCCCCGCCGAAGGGCGCCGCGAUUGUCCCCAUCUGUAAUCUGAAAAGGUUAGAAGGAAUGUGCAGAGACCCCCUCAACUAUAUUCCGUUUUGAAAUCGGUACCAGUUUUGUUUUUCUUUUGUCCGACAUUUCAAUCAAGCUAUUGUUAACUAACAAAAGCUGUUAAUUUUAAUCAUCAAAACAAUUAAUAGAUCUGCCAAUUUAAACAAAAAUCUCUAAAAUAAACAAACUUUGUAAAUUGGAAGGGGAAAAUAAUUAAAACUUAAGGACCUAGUUCAAAAUUGCCUAUAGUUUAAGGCGUUCUCAGUAUUUUUUUUUUUUUAACCAUAUAUAAAAAUAACCGCAUUGUUUGGAGCCAACACCUGUGCUGCUCCUCAAACGAGGCAAUUUUUCAUUCAUCAUAUCCCGAUGCACAUCGUGUCACAUGAAGAGCAAAGGUGAAUACACUUGUGUGCAAAUGGCGAGGACACACAACACAGUGUCUUUGUAGGAUUUAAUUAUUUGUAAAAUAUAAUAUAUUAGUAGCAGGGUAGGGUACUGGAUAAACUCUGAUGUUCUUAUUCUGUUGUUUGGGUAACAUCUGGAAGUGCUUCUGUAGCUGAGCUCAGUGUGGAAGUGCUUUUGCUGUGAAAAAAGUUGGUUGGGAGAAGAAGCGAUCACCAUGAAGGUGUGUUUGCUUUUGUUUUAGCCCCAUCUUAAUUUACUCCAAAUAGUUUGUUGGUAUUGUUCCUGCUUUGUUAUUGCAAGGAUUUAAGCAUUUAGGUACUUCUAAAAAGAUGAUUUUGUUGUUACAAACUUGGCAAAGCAGCUACUGGUGAUGGUUUAAGAUUGGGUAGUAGAGUUAUGAUGAUUAUGAAACAUAUACUUCUUUUUUUUGUGUCUGUUUCUAUGUAUUCUUAGUUCUUGCUCUUUUUAGCAAAUAUUUACAUGUAUGUGUGCAAUGUUCAUGUAAUUGUAGGUUCAUGAGACAAGGUCACAUGCCCAUGCUUCUGCAGAGGAAGAAGGGAAGAUGGGAACGCGGAGGCAAAAGGCGGAGAGUAGAGGGCAAGACGAGUCCUCGAAGAAGAAGCCCAAAGUAACCGACGGCGAGAACGGCGGCACCAACGCGAAAUCGGCAGCCGCGAUCGCGCUGGAGUUUGAUGAGUUCUGCAAGGCUACAAGAGAGCACCUCUCGAUCGAGGAGAUGCGCCGCAUUCUCGAGGCCAAUGCCCAAGAUCCUUCCGGGUCGGACGAUGCCGUGGUCCCAAGAUGGUAUUUCUUCGCAAUUUAGCUUGAACAAAUAUCGGAAUUCGAUUGAAUACUACUCAAAUUGUCUUAUUUAAAGGGUUGGUUGCAAAUUUAGUUCAAUCUAGUCCUCAAAACCUCAAUUGUGUAGUAGUUCGCAAAGUUUGACUUGAUUUCAAUUUUAUCCUAAAAGCUUUAAUUUUAACAAUUUACUGCUUAAAUUACAAUACAAUUACCGACCGCACCUAACUAAACUAAGGGCUUUGUGGUUGAUACCUGAGGUCCCGAGCUCGAAGAUUAGUUACUUCAUGAGUUUAUUUCUAAAAAAUAAACGAAGCAGAUAACUUGCUAUCAGGGACUAGUAGAAUGCUAUAAAUAAAGGAUUAAGACCGAAUUGAAAUCAAGGAGUACGUCGCAGAUGGCCAGGAAUUAAAUCAUUCGGCUUAGUGUUGAUUACUGUUAUACUUGUUACAAUUGGAAGUAUGAGGACCGCAUUGAAAACGCGUGUUGAUACUGUUUAUAUCCUUGUAGCCAGGAUAUGGUGCUUAUAAUUGGCAUUUAAAGUUUAUAUUUGUUAUGGUUCUUGAUAGCCAAGAUAUGAUGUUCUAUGGGCCUCUAGAGAGUUGCGCAAUGUGCGGAGGCCAGCUUGAGUAUACUGGGAAAAACUACAGAUGCCAAGGAAGAUACAGUGAGUGGACUACUUGCCCAUAUACAACAAUAAACCCUCCUCGGAAGAGCGAUCGCAUCAAGGUCCCCGAGGAUAUCAACAAUGAAACAGCUCGCGAGGUGUGUUUUGUACUAUAUAAAGGUAUGUGUAUUGUAUGUGUAUGAAGAGUUGGCUUAUGAGCUUGGCAUUGUUUUGAAAAAUAUGAAGUGGGUUGCGAAUCAAGAAUCGAGAGCUUAUCCACAGCGGGAUUUGCCUUUGGUGGACAAGCCAUUCUCGGGCAUGAUGAUCUCUUUAUCCGGGAGGCUUUCGCGAACACAUGUAAUAACUUGAGACAAUUUUCUCGUCAAUGUUGGAACCGGCUUUCUAUGUUUGAUUUACUGUCAAUUUUGUUUCCUUUAGCAAGCAUGGAGGGAGGAAAUCGAAAAGCACGGAGGAAAAGUUUCUAAUAGUGUCAUAGGUAGGGGGCAAGAUGCCAUAUUAUUUGUUUGUUUCUUAAAUACGGCAUUUAUGAUAAUCCACAAGGUAAUAUGUAGAUGUGGCCUAUCAUUUCAGGUGUUACUUGUCUUGUUGUUUCCCCUGCUGAACGUGAGAGAGGCGGUUCGACAAAAGUUGCAGAUGCUAUGUAUGACCUCUUCUUUGUUACCCUUUUUUUUUGGGUGGAAAUUUUUGAAAUUGUUAUUAUAUCGCGAUUGCUGUUGAAUCACUGAUGAUAAAAAGAAACCAUACAAUGAAUUUACAUCCACAUUUGGAUCCUCUCAUGUCCCAUUCAAAUGCCCGGCAACAGUGUGUUGAGAGCUGCAUGUGGAUUGAGACAACUUUAUACUGUUCCAAUUUCGUACUUGUUGUUUAUUGGUCUUGUUAUAUGAUAUGUUAAUUAGGGAAAGGAACAUUCCCGUUGUAAGCGAGGCUUGGCUUAUUGAUAGUAUCCAAAAACAAGAGGCUCAACCGUUCGACGCAUACGAUGUUGUCUCCGAUCUUGCCCCGGAGGGCAGAGGAAUUCCACAGGACAAGCAAGACCCGAGCGAGGAGGCUCUCGAGUCUCUCACAGCAGAGGUUUUGUUCUAGCUCAGCUAUUAAUACACUUCUCUAAAUUUGUUUCCGUGAUUAUUUAUUCACAAGUGAAUUGUGCAGAAUAAACUUUACGGCAAAAGAGCAGUUUACAAGGACUCCAUGCUGGAUAAGGACGGCGGGCAAAUCUUUGAAAAGGACGGGAUUAUCUACAAUUGUGCAUUCUCUCUUUGUGAUCAAGCGAGCGGAGUAAACGAGUAUGUCAUUGUUAAAAUUUGAUUUUUGAACUGCCCAUUUUGGCCUAUAUAUGGGAUUGUACUUAUAUUUGUUUACUUCCCAUGCCGCAGAUAUUGCGUGAUGCAGCUGAUCAUGGUGCCUGAGAACCACCUGCAUUUAUAUUACAAGAAGGGCCGAGUUGGGGAUGAUCCGAGAGCGGAGGAGAGAGUUGAGGAUUUUGAGGAUCGCGUGGGUGAUGCGAUUAAGGAGUUUGUUCGACUUUUCGAAGAGCUUACUGGGAACGAAUUUGAACCAUGGGAACGAGAGAAGAAGUUUGAGAAGAAACCUAUCAAAUUUUACCCCAUGGACAUGGUGAAUGAUAUUCACUAUGCCCUUAUUGUUUUUAUUAGUUCACCACAAAAUUCUAGUUAAUAUUCGUCGAACUUUGACGACCUAUCAUUAAUCAUUCAAUUAUGAGUAGGAUGAUGGAGUUGAUGUGCGAUACGGCGGCCUAGCUCCGCGCCAGUUGGGAGCGGCAUCUGUUCAUUGCAAGCUCGAACCUUUGGUCGCAAAUUUUAUGAAGAUUUUAUGUAGCCAAGAGAUUUACAGGCAUGUAAUAUGAAACAUAAUUGCUACCUUAUGUAGUCCUUAUGACAGCUUAAGGUAGUUUGUUUUUUUUUUUUCCCUUUUUUUUUUAUUUUUACUUUUGGGUGUAGGUAUGCUUUGAUGGAAAUGGGUUAUGAUGCACCGGACCUUCCCGUCGGGAUGUUAACUGAUCUCCAUCUGAAGAGAUGUUAGUAAUUCAUAACUAGCCCAUUAAAAGAUGAACUGUAUUUGCCUCAUCUAUUUGCUAAAGGCUUUCUACUGGAUCAGGUGAAGAAGUGCUUCUGAAGUUCAGAGAUGAUCUGAAAUCGGCUCCUGAAAACAGUUCAGAGCGCAACAUCAAGAGGUUGGACGAUAGCAAUCGGUGGUUCACUUUAAUGCACUCUACCCAGCCAUUCACCAUCAAAAACUACCAAGAACUCGCUGAUCAUGUAUACAAUCAUCCAUUAAUCUCUUUAAUAGAAUUUUCUCAUGGGUAUACUUCAUUAAAACAAAAUUAUUUCUACUGUCAUUGUAGGUGGCCGCAGGUUUGGAAACAAUUAGGGACAUAAAUGUUGCAUCGCGGCUUAUUGGAGACAUGACCAGUAGUACUAUCAAUGAUCCACUUUCUGAUCGGUACGAGAAGUUGAGUUGCAUGAUUACUCCUGUGGAUAAGGACUCUGAUGACUAUAAGAUGAUCGUGAAUUACCUCGAGAAAACCUAUGAGCCCGUCGCAGUUGCUGAUGUGGUAUAGUUUACGAUUUUUGCAUGCACAUUUUCAUUUGAGGGCGAAUAAUAGUUUCACUUCAGGUAACAGAGUCAUGAAUAUUAUCCCCUAUUCUUUCAUGCAGAGUUACAGUGCAUCAGUGGAGAACAUAUAUGCUAUAGAAUCAAGUGCUUGUCCUUAUGAUGAGAUAAAGAAACUUCCAAAUAAAGUUCUCCUGUGGUGUGGUAGGCAUUAAUUCACCUCUUUUAAUGAAUGAUUCUCUUUUUUAUUUUUUAUUUUUUAUUUUUGGUUAUCUCUGUUUCCAGUAACUAAGUAGGACCUCUUUGUACAUUAUUUGAUAGGUACAAGGAGUUCAAACUUGCUAAGGCACCUGCACGAAGGGUUCCAACCUGUAAUAUGCGCAAUUCCUGUGCCUGGUUACAUGGUAAAAAGCCCCCUUCUCUUCUUCUUUUUUUUUUUUUUUGCCUUCGACAAAAUUUAAUUGUAAACCAUAGUUUCUAAAAAUGUUUCAUUCUUUUUUCUUUCUUUUCUAGUUUGGGAAAGCUAUAGUUUGCUCGGAUGCAGCGGCCGAGGCGGCGCGGUAUGGGUUCACGGCGAUCGAUAGGCCAGAAGGCUUCUUGGUCCUGGCGGUUGUUUCUCUGGGAGAACAAGUCACUGAGAUAUCUGGCAUACCUGAGGUAUCAUAACCAGCACAGCCCCAGGAAUCUUAAAUGCUGUUUAUUAGAUUGUUACGGUUUUCUCUUGUGGUCCUCAACAGGAUACAAAAUCCUUAGAGGAGAAAAAGAUCGGUGUCAAGGCGUUGGGGAAGAAAAAGCCUGAUGAAUCAGAGCAUUUCACUUGGAAGGAUGAUGUGAAGGUGCCCUGCGGGCGAUUGGUUCCAUCGGAGAACAAGGAUAGCCCACUCGAGUACAACGAGUAUGCGGUCUAUGACCCGAAACAGGUAAACGCUACUUCUCUUUGUGUUAUAGAUGAUAGACCUUUUUGACAACUAUAGGGCGUCACCGACAUAACAAAGUCUCACGUAAUCGGAAGUGUUGAUUUUGAUACGCCUUGAUUUACAGAUAGAUGAUGUCAGAAAGUUAUAAAAUUUAGUUUUUCAUAAUCUUCGUCGGGUAUUGUUGAUAAUAAUUUGAUUGUACAACUACAUGGAUCAUCGAUUUGUGACGUCUCAUAAUCGAAAUUGAAAGUGAAUCCAUAUUACAAAUAAGAGACAUCUUAGCUGGUUCUGCAGUUUGUGGUGGUGGUUUAAGUGAUUAAAAUGAAAGCUAGGAAGAGGUUGUGGCAUUUAUGUAGUGUUUCAAUAUUUAUGUAGUGUUUCAUUUCUUAAUACUAAUGUUUCUUUUUUUCGAAUAUCAUUUUUCUCUACAGGCUAGUAUCAGGUUUCUGGUGGAAGUGAAGUAUGAAGAGCAGAAUAUGGAGAUGGACACAGCUGAACCAGAUGAAGUAAGGAUGACCUAAUUUUGAGUUUUUUUUUUUUUUUCGCUGCAUGGAUAGUAGUGCUGUGUUUUUUUGAGGCCCUUUUAAGGGGGACUAAAAUGUGGUUUGGGGUUGUUGUUUCCCAAAAAACAUUACCUUUUUCGGGUAUGUGAAGUAUCUGUUUAUGUUAUGUAUAUAUGUUCACAGCUAACAGUAAAACACCUGAUGUUUAGUUUUGGAGUUCAAAUUUUGGAUUUUUCCUCUGGUGCCUUUAGACUCUUAAUUGGUUCUGCCUCUUACUUGGAGCUGUUUUGUUUUAAGAGCUGCUUUAAAGCUCAAUUGGUAUUGUUACAGGCAUUGAGGACUAUCUUAUUGCUCAAAUAAUUGCCUUGAAAGUAGCUGAAAUCGAUUAGCGAGAUGUAGUAGUACAUAAACAUAGACAAGUUAAUUCAUAUAGUGCCUUUUGUUUGCUUUUCUAUUUCUCAUCUCUCCGAGUCCUGAGUAAACAAGAAAGGAGUGUUACAAUGACAUCAUAGUUAGUAGUAACUAAUGCCCUAGAUCGAUGAACUAUUGCCCUAAGUUGAACCAAACCUAGCCUAGCUUAGAUAUUAAACCUCAUAUAGAUAGAUGAUCCCAUCUGCACCUACACUUCAGUAAGCUACCACAACAGAGGACCCAGAAGAUGAUCACUCCAGCUGAAUUGCUGCUCAUUAGAGCUCACCAUGAGUGCAAUUGGAGCUCUUGUUAAGUUGCAGUGGUGCCGACGAGGUCGCAUCGAGGUCGGGGAUCGCAGCGCGGUUGUUCGACGAAGCAGCGGCUGCGGUGGUGUUCGACUUCGACUUCGUGAGCUUCUGCUUGAGCUGGGAGAGGAGAGCUUGGUUUUCUUGGCUCAACAGCUGGGCCUUCUUCCUCAGCCUCUCAUUCUCCUUCAUUAUGUAGUAGUUCUCCAAAUACAGCUUUGUGUUAAGCCCCUCCAUUCUUGUGUAUUUACUAUGUUGACCUCGCUUAAUUUGGGCAAAGUAAUAAUACUAAAGUAUGUAUUACCCCAACUGCAACCAAUAGAAUUUAAGAGUAAGAAUAAGAUGAAAGAAUAUAAUGUGUAUGUGUAUAAUGUUGGAAUAAUCAAUCCCAAUGUUGUCUCUGAACAAGUGCAUCUUUUCUCCAGAAAAAAAGAAAGUACAGGACACUCAUGCAACCUGAUUAGAGACAUGCAAUGAACAAAAAAAAAAAAACAAGAUCCACAAAUGAACCUUCUAAAGCAAAAGAAAACUCCAUAGUAGCUAGGCAUAUAUAGUGCCAAUUAUUCACUAUCAAAUUAUCCCAAUUAUCCUAAAUACGGGGAGAAAUAAAAUUAAGGAUGUAUAACACUACAAUGAAUUAGAUACCAUUUCUCUAAUUACCAGGUAUAUAUAUAUACUGAAGCAAAUUAGUGAGGAAAUUUCUAAGUAAUUAACUAGACCCACCACCCUUCCCCACCAUGGCAUUAACAAUACGAAAAUGUGAAACGUGACAACAUGGUUAAGGAUUUUAGAUAAAAUUAAGCAAAACAAGUACCGAGUACAUUUCCUUAACAAUGUAAAGUGAUCCAUUAAUUAAGAACACAUGAUAAAUUAAAGUAAAGCAAUCACCUCUUAUAUAUGGAUUAAUGGCCUCAAAAUUGAAUUAGAAAAAUAUGAGAGGAGCGAGUGAAUGAGAGGGGGAGGAGUAGUGUGGUGGGACAAGCUUUUGGUUUGGUAGUAUUUAUAGGGCCAAAGUUGAGGGUGUGGAGUACAUUGUGGAAAACACAUGCCUCUCUCUAUAUCUCUAUAUCUCUAGCACACAUAGCACAUGCAUGGGUGCAUGGAAACAAGGGGAAAUAAUUUCUUGUCACACGGUGUAUCUGUAUCUAUCACAUACACCGCACAUAUUUUAAAGAUAAAAAUAAAAUGAACACGUCACCUUAGUACUAAAUAAAAGAUUUUAAACAUACUAACUAAAUAUAUAAAAUCCAUAAUUUUUUAAUAUAUAUAACUAAUUAAACUCUAAAUUUAAGACCUCUUACAAAAAAUAAAAUAUAUAUAUAAAAGUGUGACGCGCGAUGCACCAGGUGCAUGCAAUAAAUUACGUUGAGCUAAUGAUGAGGGGGGCAUUUUCGUAAUUUUACGAGGGGGCCAAUCAAAAUGAUAAUGGAGGGCUUCGGUCGGCCCAAGAUUCGCAAUGAUGGCCUUCUUCGGCCGCUUCCAUCAUCAUUCCUCAUCAAUGCUCUUUUGUUUUUUUUACUUUUUUUUUUCCCUUUUCUUUUUUACCCCUAAUUUAUAUUACACAUUAGUAAUUAUUUCCUCGGCUCCCAUUUUUAGUAGAUCAUCAUAAUGUAGUUUUUUGUUAUUAUUAUUAUUUUACUACAUAGUGUUUUUUAACAUGUGGUGAUUUUAAAAACUUUUGCUCUGAUACCAUAUGAAGCAACCGUUGUACUCUAAAAUGGUGUUUAUAUAAUUUUAUAUUUAACAGGACUCAAAAUGGUAAUCAAAUUCAAACCCAAAUAGUAAUCAAAUGAUAAUUUAGAGAUUUAUUGUUUAUAAGAUGAAGAGAUUUUGUCUUUAUUUAAGAAGUGUUUCAAUAAUCAGAUAUCUAGCAAAGACCAAAAAGAAAAGAAAGAGGAGAGAGAGAGAGAGAGACAGAGAGAGAGGGAGAAAUUAUAAAGGGUGAGAGCCGGUUGUGAUCUUGCCCUUUGCUUUUUGUCAUCGUCAGUAUUUUCCCCCUUAUACUCCAAUAAUCCCAUGCCAUGCUCUUUUUAAAACCUUAUUGCAUUACCACUUUAUUGGUUACUGCGCAUGGUAAUAUAAAACCCGACGUUAAAGCAACAUUAUUAUUAUUAUUAUAAAAAUUUGCUUAGGUUGGAAUCGUUGGAUCGCAUAACAUAGGGGGAGGAGCUAAACCAAGGUACAUUUGAUCUAGUGUAUAUGAGAGAAUUGUAAAUGUAAUGUAAACUAACACUUUAUUGCUAAUGUAGAUAAAGUGCAAAAGGGAGAGGGAUGGGCCAAAGCCAACAAAUCUUGGACAAACUACUCGGGCAUUGCGUCUAAGAUGAUGGUGUUCUCUAUGUCACCCACUAGUGUAAAUACAAAUGAACAUAUAUAUUUUUGGAGAGGAUUCAAAUUCUUAGGUUUGAUUGCAAGAAAAUCAUAGUAGUUUUAGCACCUCCACACAUGGCAGAAGAUCAUUAUCUGAGCCGAGUGCGAGCAAAGAACGCAUAUCAACUGCUCUAGAUAGAAAUGAUAAUAACAAUGCAAUGUUAUUGUGUGAACCUUUCUCUUCUAACUUCCAACAUUAAGAAAGAAAGGGUAUUUUGGCACUCUAGUCAUCAGAAGAGACUGAGCUUUUUCCAUUUGGUUUUUGCUUCCAAUGCAAGGGCAUAGAUUUGGCAAUGUAACAAGGACGGGAAUAAGCUAUUUUGAGAUGAGAAUGAGGGGAGGUGACCCUUUCUAAAUAUGGCAUUGUUGCUUAAUACAGAAAAAACAAGCAAGAUUCCCAAAUUGUCCUUCUGAUAGCCUAGAAUCUGCAUAAACAACUUAAAAGAGGAUAGGGUGUUAUUUUUUGGAAAAGAUACUCAUUAGUAGAAAGGCUUUGGAAGAGGAACAUAAUCUUUAUGGUCUCUCAGAGAUAGGAUUGCAUUGCCAGAAUCUUGCAGGGGCAUUGAGCUCCACAGGGUUUAUAAAUGCUUUCACAUGGUGCACAGUUAGUUGCACAUUGGAAGGUUAACUAGAUCUUUAGACGAUUUGAAAAUAACUUAUAACUCAACCAUAUUAUCAUCCGCCAUCCAUUAUAUCUUAUACUUGAAAUUGAACUAGCCAAAGUUUAAAUAAAGGUUGGAUUUGAAUGAGAAGAGCAAAAGAGAUUGAAAUAUGAGACGAAGCAUAAGUUCGACACACGAUGAACCAUCUGAGUUGCAGCCACCAUGAUGGUCACCUGGGUGUUUAAUGGAGAUGGAGAGAGAUAAUGUGGAAGAAGGGCAAGUGAAAUCAUGGGAAAGGUAGAGAACACAUUGGUGGGAGGUGGAUAAAGGUUAGCAAGAUCAUGAAAAGCUUCUGAAGAACAGUAGUAGCCACAACACUUACAAAACAGAGUCAAAAUGAAUCAAGCCUACUUAAGACCAGGUAGAAAUAGAUUUUGUUGAAAGGAAACCUUACUUCUGUCAACUAAAAAGAAGCCUCAAUAACCAAGUAAUUAAUAUGAUUUUCAAUUCAAUUGAUUAAAAUAACUCGCAACAAACCGAUAAAAAAGUUCCACAAGUGUCGAUGAUAAGAAGUUUAGCAACCGAUUUUGAAAGGGCCUACUGUUGAGGGGUUCUGCGGUCUCUGUCCAAAUUUGAAGCUUUUGUUUUGGAGGGAAAAAAAAAUGAAAAAAGAUAUAAAAGAAACUAAGCAAUAGAGUCAUGAAAAAUCUCGAUAAGAUCAUAGAAGUUAAUGGAUAGACCAAACUCUCUCUAGCUAUCAACAAUUCUUAUAAGCCACUUUUAACAGCAAACAGUUGAGGGAAAAAUAAUUGUUUCAGGAAAGAUUACAAUCUGGAUGGAUGAUGUCUCGAAACAUUGGAACGAUCUUCUAAAAGUAGAAAUGCAAAUGGUUUUUGAAGUAUCAUUAUUACGAACAGUCUGGAUUUCGUUUCACCAAAAAGGGGGGCAAAAAAAAAAAAGCUUUGGUGCUUCAUCUGGCUUGAGGGUGGCCAGCAAUAUAGUCGAUGAGCUGAGCAGUUGUCGAAAAUUUCUCUGCCUCACUGUUUGGAAUCUCAACUGCGAAUUCCUCUUCGACCGCUGCUAUGACUUCCACAUUAUCGAGCAUGUCCAAGUUCAGAUCAGUCUUAAAGCUCGCAGUUGAGCUCACCUGAUGAUAACCACAAGUUGAACAGUUUAAAUAUCUGUUUCAUUCUACUAACUAGUGCAAUAUAGAUCUGAUCCUUGGUGUUUAUGAGAGCUUCUAGGCUCUAGCAACAUACUUUUUACAUGUAUUGCACAUUUUCAUCUCACAGAUCUAACUUCCUACACUUGCUCAGCAAUACAACAGCUUGCAACUCGUACUAUCAUACAUAUGAAGAAAUUGUACAUAAUGGAUGAUAAUGUAAUUAGAGCAGGAUAACUGGCUUUAGCUACAAGUUACUUCAAGGAGACAAGGACUUAUUCCUAGUAGCCAAAUCGAGCACUCUGAAGCCCAUGAACUCUUUGAUAUCCAAAAAAGAAAAAAGACGGGAUAAUUCUAUGAGGUAAGCCCGGUUCCAUUUAGCUCCAUGUGGUUUGGACUAAAACACUAUAGCAUUCUUUGUCGCUGCAGUCAACUGUUAGAUGCCUUUCAAUUUAAGAAAAUUUUGAGCAUGCGAUAACUUGUUAGAAACAUUGUAAAUAAGAUUUAUCUACUAAAUUUUAUUAAUUCCACCUAUUUACUAUAUUUUAGUGAGCACAUUUCUUUCGCACAUCCAGUAUACGAGCAUAUGAAUGGUUAAAGUCCUAACAGGCAAGAAAACAGUAACAUGAGGGCACGAAAGUGUUACAGUCCGAGCCAGGGGUGGUAGAAUGCAUAACAUACCACAAGGGGGUAUUUAAAGUUCUUCCUAAAAUUUGGAAAAGCUGAAGUAUGAAAUAUAUCAAUCGCGAGCUGAAAAUAGAAACAGAGAAGGAAAAGUUGUAGGAUACAAUGAUCUAAUCUCAAGUGAAAAUUAAGCGAACCCUCGAUCAACCUCAGAGCAAAACUAUCACCUCCUUUGAUGUUCUAUUAACGCUGCUUAUCAAAAAUUCUUUUUCUACUCCACUUAAUCUAGACCCUUGAGUUAUUUAAGGUUGGAAAGCUCUCAAAUAUUAACUUAUUAGCUAAACAACUCGAAGCAGAAGCACUUCUGUUUAUGUUCCAGGAGUAAUUACUCAAACACUCCCUACCGUAUGAUUCCCAAUCAAUUCCUACUACUCAAUUCCAGGUUCACGCCUCAUCUAAUUCUUGUGUGAAGAGGACUUUAUAGAAACUCGCUGCUUUUGAACACCAAACUUGCUACUACGAUAACAAAUUAUAAGAACAUGCUCCAAUUCAACUAAGAGCAUGUUUGACCCUUGCUUUGUACUUUUCCGCUUUUAGCAGUAGUCUCUAGAAGAGUGUUUGGUAAAGAGAAAACUCUGCAGCUUCUGCUGCAGCAAGAAGCGAAGAUAAAUAUACUAAUAUGGUGCUUUUCCGAAGAGCAGGACUUGGAAAUCAGCACACGCCAAUCACUCCUAGGAGCGAUCGUGCGAAUGCUACAAGUCAAAUUCGAGAUUAAAAAAAAACAACAGCCCCCAACGAUAUCGCAAUAAACGCCAUUACGAUCAUCAAAUCAGUGAUUAGGGGAAACAAUCAGAGGCAAUUCCCCAAGAUAGAGAUUAGAGACGGGAAUCGAUGGUGGGAGAGAUCAAACCUUGGCGGGAUCGACGAAGGGGAUGGAUCUGAGGAGGCCGAGGACUCGAUCGGUGGCCUCAUGCUUGUCGAGGGCGGAGCUCGCGGCGGCGGCGGCGUGCUGAGCGAAAGCCCUAGAACCCGCGGCGUAGAGGAGGCCUCCUCUUCUACCUCCAUGGGCGCAGAUCGGAGAGGUAGAGGACAACGAUCUCAGGAGAUGGAUCGCGUUCCGAGUCGCCUGCAUCGUACCCUAACACCGCAACCUGAGAGAGAGAGAGAGAGAGAGAGAGAGAGAGGAGGAGGAAGAAGAGGAUCGGGGUGGAGAGAGAGAGAGGGAGCGAGAGAGACUGAGAGAGAGAGAGAGAGAGAGAGAGAGAGAGAGAGAGGUGGGAGAUGGAAUCGUGGCCGUUGAAAAAGUGGCUUGAUCGGUGAUAUCUCACCGUCCAGGAUUUUGUGCGCGGAUGUGUGGAGUUGGUCGAAUCGUAGCCGUUGAAAGAAGAGGCUAUUGCCCUUGAAGCAAUCGACGGUGAGGAUCGCAUCUGAUCAGCUCGAGUCGACUCUCUCGGAACUGAUCGAGCGGAGUCACAGCUCGUACAGUCGCAUCUCCAGCUUCUGUUAUCUAGAAUGUUUAAUAGCAUUGCAUCACGUUGUUGCCAUGCACUAAUCAAAUUUUUCUUUUUCCUUAGUUUAGGAUAAUAAUCAUUUUUUAGUUUUACGAUUAAAUAUUCUAACUAUGAAAGUGCACUCUCAUCACAUGGACUCAACAUUCGUUUAUUACAACACCCCUCAAUAAACAAUUUCCACAGGUGUUGGAUAUGUAGAGUUCUAGGAAUGUACAGCUUUCAAAGGGUGAAUAUAAAGCAUUCUUUUAGCAACAAUGGAACUGCAGAGUCAUGUAGCAAAAGAGCAAACUUGUCCUCAAGCAACAGGAGAGAAUCAGGUAGAGAUAACAGGUUAUGAACUAAAAAAGAACCUUAACAUCUAUACAUGUCAGAAACAAUAGCUGGGGAUAGGUUGAGAAACAAGAAACACUUUUCUUAUUUCUACCCAGUAAAAUGAAACGAGAAAGAUGAAGAUGUUGGAAAUUUGGCAGAUGUUCCACUAUGUAGCCAUGCUGGUAAAACAGAGUACCUUUUAGCUAAUUAAGCUAUAAAGGAAAAAACAAAACAAAACAAAACAAAAAGAAGAUUACAAUCAACAGGGCCUCAGGAUUUCAAUCCUGUCCUGGUUGAAAUGAUUAAUUUUUCAUUUUUAAUCUCCAACACUAUAUCAUCUAAAACUUCAUACAUAGUACAUCAAUUUGCACUAUCAGCAAGGACACAUAAGUAGGACCUUGCUUGAAAGAGAUCCUACAACAACGUGCCUUCUCAGUUAUAACACCUGUGUCUAGUGCAAUUAUCACUUUGCCUACUCUUCAAACUUACCCUCCAAACUAAGAAAAGAAGUUUGUCGAAGCCAAACUUCUUUUGCUGCUCAGGUCUUUCACUUCUCUUAAAACCAUUCAAACAGGGAAAAUCCAUCAGAAAUUAUAAAACUGCAGCAGAACAGGAUUUGAUAAUACAUUUAUAAUGCGCGAAUAAGUGGAAUAUAUACAGAAGAAACAACAAAACUUGGAAGUCACAUUACAUCAUAACACGAUAAACAUACAAAUGUUGGACAAAGAUGGUUAUCGAGAAACUGGUAAUAUUUCCAAAUCGGAUAGAAGCCAUCAGCUUCUUCGAAUUCAAACCACAUAAGAAAUUUUGAUGGUAACUGUUACUUUUGAUUCUACGUUAAUUAAGCGUGCAAAACGGGAGUCGACCAGCAGUUCAUAAAGCAGAGAUCAAAACACAAGAAAGACUCCAUUGCUAUAUGGUAGUUGGUUGUUGCUACUUAGAUACAAACUCAAUGGUUACAAAGCAAGUAGAUAACUUAUUUUGAUGCCUUGUUAGAGUAACUUAUUAGUGGUUGGAGAAUGUUCAUCCUAAUUGACAGAAACAAACAAAGGCAUAGUUUCCUCACAUUCUACUGAAAGAAAACAAAAAAGGAGGGGGCUUCACGCUGCAAUCUUAUAACAGUAAAAGUAAAAUAAUCUAAGCUCUAUAAGAAACAAUAUGUAAUAACAAAGAGCUCACACUGUAAUAACAAAAGGAGCUUGGACUGAGUACGAAGAGUACUACACUUGUCACAUCAUCCAGCCUCCCCCUGCCUAAUAAUUAACGAGGGUACUUGCCAUAAAUUUGCCGUGAUUAAAAGCAAGGACAAAAUGCAGUAACAUUUAAAGGUAGUAACUAGUAAACUUAGUCAAAAUUACCUCUCAUUUUUAACGAGGACACUACAAUAAGAGACAAGAAACCACAGCAUGUUGUACCAUUCCAAUCUUGUAGCAGAAUAUUGCCCCAUAUCCCAAUUGAAUCAUUGAUGCAUCGUCUCAAAAUCUUACAAAAAUUUGUGCAAUAAUUACAGAACUACAUUGCCAAAACAUGCAGAUUCCUACAGAAUUUAAGUCCUCCCCACCCAACAAAAAUGUCUGUUUUAACACUCUGUUCGUAUCUCCUAUCUUCCUGCAACUCGAAAACACAUAAAGAAAACUAGGACAAAAGCGAAAGGGAAAAGUAAUAAUAAAACAAAAGGCUCUAAUUUGAAGAGGAGGAGGAGGAGGAGGAGGAGGAGGCUAAGCCUAAGCCGUAAAAAACGAUGGGAGGGAUCAUAGAGUUGGAAUCGUUAAGGAAGGGUACGACCUGGGGGCGGUCGACGAGGUCUCUGUAGAAGUCGUACUCGGCUUCGUAGUCGUGGAGAUCGAGCUCCGAUUUCUGAUUCGUGUGGUAGUGGUGCUUCACCCCCGCGGAUUUUCCGAACCCAAAGGCGCUCACGCGAUCGCACAUGCCCAGGGCGAGCACGAUCGCCUGGAGCCCCGAGGAGUAGUGGAACAUCUUCGCGUCGUGGGACUCGCCCCAUUGCAGGGGCGAUCGCCGCGACGCCUCCGCGAAGCGCUUCAGGGAGUAGUACAUGGCGAUCCGCGAGCAGAGCGCGUCGAGGCGCGGGUCGGUGAUGAGGAGCGGGGAGGGGUGGGAGGCGUUGCACACCACGUAGUCGAGGAAAUGCUUGGGCUGGCAGAUGUAGGCGACGAUGGGGACGGCGUCGCCGUAGGGGUGGCAGGAGCACUUCUCGCGGCGGGCGCAGAGGUGCAGGAUGUUGCUGUUCACGAACGCGAGCGAGGUCCGGGACCCGACGUCGCGGGCGAAGCCGUGGACGCGCGCGUUGUUGAGCCGGAUCACGAGCUCGUGCCCGUCGAUGAGGUCGCCGCGGCCCGAUCCGAGGAGCACCCCGCUGUUCCCCACCACCGCGCACGACGCGUAGCGCCCGCCGCCGCGGCGGAGGCCGAGGGGCCGCCGCACGAGGCUCAGGAGGUCGGGGAUCGGAGCGGGCGCGGCGCUGCGGAGGCCGAGGCCGAGGCGGAGGNGAGGCGCGCGACGAUGGCGGGGUCGGGGGGGUCCGGGGAGCGGAGGAGCGAGGUGAGGAUGUGGGAGUAGCUGGGGAGGUCGGGGAGGUAGCCGUAGGAGCGGAGGAGGGAGAGGAGGCGGAGGGCGAGCGCGGGGCGCGAGUCGACCGCGGCGGCGGAGAGGAGCGAGUUGAGGAUGAGAGGCGACGGAGGGUCCGAGUACGAGUACCGAUGAGAAGAGGAAGAAGGAGAAGAAGGAUUACCAUUAGGGUUAGGGUUGGGGGUUUGGGGGGAGAGGGAGAGGAGGAGGGAGUGGCGGAGGAGCUGGGAGCGGGAGAGGGAGAGGAGGAGGGAGGAGAAGAGGAGG
Molecule: long non-coding RNA, 48700 nt
Filed under: Ananas comosus (pineapple)
Lineage: Eukaryota; Viridiplantae; Streptophyta; Magnoliopsida; Poales; Bromeliaceae
Description: long non-coding RNA (ACOM_LNC031035)
Source: RNAcentral